RNAcentral lists this long non-coding RNA (70902 nucleotides) under Solanum tuberosum (potato). RNAcentral's name for it is "long non-coding RNA (STUB_LNC000284)". The record is from RNAcentral. Lineage: Eukaryota; Viridiplantae; Streptophyta; Magnoliopsida; Solanales; Solanaceae.
CUUCAGUUUAAGCAAUCCUUUAAAAUAUCUGAUUACUCUAGUUUUGAGUGUGAUACUUCUUUUCCAAAAACAAAUUCUUGGAAUGAGAGUAGGGAUUGCUGCAGUUGGGAUGGAGUCACUUGUAACUUAUUAAACGGUCAUGUUAUUGGGUUAGACCUUAGUUGUAGUCUGCUUGGUGGAAGUAUUCAUCCCAAUAGCAGCCUCUUCCAACUUCAUCAUCUCCACACACUAAACCUUGCUUACAAUGACUUCGAUUAUCCUUCUUCAAUCCCACAUAACAUUGGUCAAUUGACGAAUUUGAGGCAUCUCAACCUUUCUCAUUCUCACUUUGAUGGAAAAAUCCCAACAGAAAUCUCAUACCUUUCCAAUUUGGUUUCACUUGAUCUUUCUUCUUUUUAUGGUUAUGUUUUACAACUUGAUGAGAGAACAUUUGAAACAAUGCUUCACAACUUCACAAAUCUGGAGCUACUUUCUCUCUCUUUUGUCAACAUCUCAUCUCCGAUGCCUGUGAAUGUUUCUUCCUCCUUAAGGUACCUCGAUCUUGGUUAUACUAAUAUGCGAGGUGUUCUCACAGAGAGCUUUUUCCUUCUGUCAAACAGCUUGGAAACGCUCAAAUUAAGUGAUAAUGAUCUUCUCAAAGGAGUUUUUCCAAAGACCCACCCGAGCAACACUCUGUUAAUGGAGUUGGAUAUUUCAGGCACAGGCAUCUCCGGUGAGCUGCCUCAUUCAAUUGGCACCUUCAGUUCCUUGAAUAUCUUGAACCUCUAUGGAUGUCAAUUCUCUGGUUCCAUUCCUGAUUCCAUAGGAAACCUAACACAAAUUACGGAGUUGCUUUUAUCUUAUAAUCAUUUCACUGGCCAUAUUCCUUCCACAAUCUCUAAAUUGAAGCACCUCAGAAUUUUAUAUCUUUCUGACAAUUCCUUCUCAGGUGAAAUUCCUGAUGUUUUCUCUAACCUCCAAAAGCUAUACUAUUUAGAUCUUUCUGAAAACAGCUUCACUGGUCCAUUUCCUGCUUCAAUUUUAGGUUUGACACAUCUUGAAUACUUAGACAUGUCGAGUAAUUCCCUAUCUGGCCCACUACCUAGCAACCAAAGCAUGCUUCAAAAGCUAACUUCUGUGGAUUUGUCAUACAACUCACUGAAUGGUACCAUACCAUCUUGGGUGUUUCGCCUACCUUUGCUAUCUUCAGUGUCGCUCCAACAUAACCGAUUCAGAGGACUAGCCGAGGAAGUGAUCAAAACAAACCCAACAUUAAAACAACUGCUUUUAAGCAAUAAUCAACUCAGUGGUUCUUUUCCUCAAUCACUUGUGAAUCUCACAAACCUUGAAACCCUUGGAAUUUCAUCAAAUAACAUCACCAUUGAUGAGGGAAUGAAUAUCACCUUUCUUAGCCUAUCAUCUUUAUUCUUAUCAUCUUGUCAACUGAAGUAUUUUCCACACUUCUUGAGAAAUGUAAACACACUUGAGGGCUUGGAUAUUUCUAACAAUAAGAUUUGUGGUCAAAUCCCUAACUGGUUUAGCAGCAUGAGGUGGGACUCAUUGCUGUUCCUAAACCUUUCUCAUAAUUCAUUAACAGGCCACCUACCACAAUUUCAUUACUAUAACCUACCACAAUUUCUGUUUCAAGUUGACAGAAGUGAUCUACACAGCCGCUCAUUAGCUAUGUUACUCAAACUCUUCAAAAAUGUCAAUGGGUACGUGUUGGAUUCUUCAAAAGUAAUGCAAUUUUUAAGGAACCAACACAGGUGUCAUUAUAUUUUAGGAGAGUCGAAACAACAUAACUCAUAUUUCUUAACAUUUUCUGCUUCUACAUUUAUUGCUGUUAAAGAUCAUUGCUUGAAAUGGCUUAACUCAUACACACAGAGGAUAGCAACUAUUGAGCUGUUGACUGAAGUGUUCCAUUUAUUAAUACAACAAAACAGGAAAAGGCUACAUCCACCUCUGGGGCUCAUGUUGUUCUGUUUCUUCAAAUGCAAAACACUCUCUAUCAUGAUAUUCUUUAUUUUCAAGGUUCGAAUCUGAAACCCUUGGUUCAAUUUUACCUGGAACCAUUCAUUUAGCAUAACUAGAUGUCUUAUCGCAUUAUAGUUAUUAUACAAAGUGAAAAAAUUCAAGGGAUAAUAAGACCAUCUCAAAAAUCGGGUGUGUAACUGAAAAAUCUGACUCGACUUUAAGGGUAUACUUAGGGUGGUUCAAAAUCGAACCAUAACCGAUAGGCCAAUCGCAAAAUUGGCUUAUUUGUAUUGGAUUAUCGGAUUAACGGUUGAUCAACGAUUAAAAUUUUAUAGUUACGGUGCGGUGGCAGAUUACUCAAUUUCCUUAGGGAAAAUUACGCGGAAAAGCAAACAUAUACUAGUUAAUUAGCUAAUAUAGAUAUCACGACCCAAGUCUACACCCUGGAUGUGGCCGGCACUCAAGAACCAUUGUUGAUCCCCAAGCGAACCCUCAUCCUGACAGACUAACUUAAGCAUGCAAAAGCUUAAAAUUGAAAUUCAAUAAACUCAACUUUGUAAAACAUUAACUCAAAUGAACAACUUAGAAUAAAAAUAAUAUAUUCAACUCGCCAUAAAAUAGGCAACUUAAGUCUUUAAAACAUUUAAUAAAAUAAAUAAAUAAUACAGACUUUUCAACUAUACUGACUAUCUGUGAAGCCUCUAACUAAUAAAGAUAGAAGUCGAGACAAGACCCACGACAUCAUGACUAAACUAAAAAGUAAAUGAAAUCCUCCGGAAACAAGGAGGCUCACCAUAGCUAACUCGAACUCCCGGAUGUAUCAACGAAUCUCCUGUUAAUGAUCCUGAAUACAUAUGUCUGCAUCAUGAAAAGAUGCAAGCCAAAUGGCUCAGUACGUGGAAUGUACGAGCAUGUAAGGGGAAUUCUAAAACAUAAACAUAAGCUUGAAACUUGAUAAAAAGGAGACAUACUUUCCUCUUUUCAAACUUACUCAACUAAAGGAAUACUCAAGGACACUCAAAACUACUCAAACUUACUCAACUCAGAAGUACUCAAGGAUAAGAAACUCAACUAAGUAAUAAUUUUCUCAACUCAGUGAAACUCAACAAUAAGGUACUCGACACAAUGAANNNNNNNNNNNNNNNNNNNNNNNNNNNNNNNNNNNNNNNNNNNNNNNNNNNNNNNNNNNNNNNNNNNNNNNNNNNNNNNNNNNNNNNNNNNNNNNNNNNNNNNNNNNNNNNNNNNNNNNNNNNNNNNNNNNNNNNNNNNNNNNNNNNNNNNNNNNNNNNNNNNNNNNNNNNNNNNNNNNNNNNNNNNNNNNNNNNNNNNNNNNNNNNNNNNNNNNNNNNNNNNNNNNNNNNNNNNNNNNNNNNNNNNNNNNNNNNNNNNNNNNNNNNNNNNNNNNNNNNNNNNNNNNNNNNNNNNNNNNNNNNNNNNNNNNNNNNNNNNNNNNNNNNNNNNNNNNNNNNNNNNNNNNNNNNNNNNNNNNNNNNNNNNNNNNNNNNNNNNNNNNNNNNNNNNNNNNNNNNNNNNNNNNNNNNNNNNNNNNNNNNNNNNNNNNNNNNNNNNNNNNNNNNNNNNNNNNNNNNNNNNNNNNNNNNNNNNNNNNNNNNNNNNNNNNNNNNNNNNNNNNNNNNNNNNNNNNNNNNNNNNNNNNNNNNNNNNNNNNNNNNNNNNNNNNNNNNNNNNNNNNNNNNNNNNNNNNNNNNNNNNNNNNNNNNNNNNNNNNNNNNNNNNNNNNNNNNNNNNNNNNNNNNNNNNNNNNNNNNNNNNNNNNNNNNNNNNNNNNNNNNNNNNNNNNNNNNNNNNNNNAUGUGGAAUUAUGAGCAUGAACUACUCAACUCAAGACUGUUCGACUUAUAGGAUUCAUGCCAAAUUAUGGGCAUGAACACUUCAACUCAAGGACUUCAUGAGUAAUAUGAAAUAGUUCCAUGAUUAGAAAAUAUAAUCUCAAAGGGGAUUGGGAACUCAAUACUCAAGACUUAGAACUUAAAGAUAUUACCCCUCUCAAUGAUGCUCAAUUUAUGAAGUCUAUGCGGAAUUUAUGGGCAUGAACGACUCGACUAGAAGGUCUACAAACUACAUGGAAUUCAUGUAUAUGACACUUCUCAUUCUCUUACUUACCACCUCAAAACUUAGUUCAAAUCGAUAGUUGAUCUCAAAGGAUUCACAAUUGAACUCAAAGGCUUUCUUGAACUCUAUUCUUAACUUUCUCUUGAAUGUGAAUUAUGAAUUCAAGAGUUAUGGUUCAUGAUAUGAAGGAUAUCAUGAUGACAAAGUAUAUUCAUGAAUACAUUCUCCUCAUCCUCAUACUCACUUGCUCGAGUCUUGAAACAAGUUACUAGAAGUUGUAGAAAACUCCUCAAAAGAGCUCAAAGGGGCUUUCUGAGAAUGUUCGAAAGAAUUCUCAAAACUUAACUCUUAACUCUACCUUGAAUUUGAAUUAUGAAUUCAAGGUUAUGAUAAUGUUAGGAAUGAUUUUAGGUGUUUAGAAGUAUCUUAGAGUAGUUAGAAUCGAAAAGGAGUGAAUGUACCCUUCGAAAGAACUCAAACGAAGCAACCGAUUGCAAACUGGACGGGGCAGGAGACCCUGGGGCUAUGGGUGGCGCGGGGAGCCAGCCCCUAAACUUCAGAGCAUACUUUGGGGCGCUCUGGUUGGCGCUACGCGCCAGGACCCAACCCAGAAGACCCGACGAAAUUCUUUGCUAGUUUUCUCACCCUAUUUCGCUUAGAAUCGAGCGGUUUCUUCCCCAAUCACUUGGAUUCGAUUAUUUAACAUAAGUACACUCUAAUAUAUUCAAUACAGCCCUAAAAACACUCACAUUAAUCUCAAGAAAUCAUCAAAACUUCAACAAAACAAGAUUUAAAAUGAACUUCAAGAACACCUAACAAGAAAUCAUCAAGAACUCUAAUCCUUCAACUUUAAGAACAAAAUUGCGCUGAAAACAACAUGAUUGGCGUGUUGGUGAACAAAUCCAACACUAUGGAAGCUUACAUACCUCUUAGGGAUUAAACCCAUGGCGAAAAUCCGCAACAAAAUGCAAGACUCUCGACGAACGCUUUGAUCAUCUCCUCUUUUCUCCUCUUUUCUCUUCUUGAACUCUCAACUAAAACUCUAGGCUAAUUUUAGGAUUAUAAAACUGAACCUAAUAGGAUUAGACCCUUAAAACCUUACUAAAAAUGAAUUAAAUCCGAUUUGGUAAGGAAAAGACUAAAAUACCCCUCUAAAAUCCGGUUUUGACUUUCCUUAUCUAGACAACCCAACUUCGAAUGCACAUAUCUCCCUCAUACCAACUCAAAAACUGAGAAAACUCGGUGGCGUUGGAAAGAUAAUUCAAAGAUCUUUCCUACGGUAUCUGGUAGCACACCUAAAUCAUUCUGAGAUAGGAGUUAUGGUCGUUUGAAGUCAACCCAAAACUCAUACUUAGCUUAACUUGCAAAAUUUCAAAUAUUUGUUAUUUCCAAUUUAGUUCUUUUUGAUACUCAGGUGCUACAUCUAGUGACCUGACCUUAACACUUAAGAAAUUUUAAAUUCCUUAGUAAAAUCCUACUCACAACGAAGGACGGUUCAAGUCUUAGCUCAAAAUUUUUCUGGGGUGUUACAAUAGCUAUAGUUUGAAUUAAUUACGGCUCGCAACUUAAUUUUAGCUUUAAUUACGCCACUUGUCCUCUUUUAUACAUAUACAAAUACAAAUUAUACACAUAUAUACUCUUAUCGUAUCAUUGACUAAUGAGUAAUUUCUUAACAAGAAACCUUAAUGAUACCAAUAAAGUAUAUAUAUACUGAUUUAGUAUCAAUUUAGCGAAAUUAUCAGCCUUAAUGAUAUCAAUACAGUAUAUGAUAUUGAUUUAGUAUCAGUUAAGCGAAAUUAUCAACCUUAAUGAUACAAAUACAGUAUAUGAUACCGAUUUAGUAUCAGUUAAGCGAAAUUAGUAAGAGGGUAUAUAGUGUAAUUAUUUAGUGGGGUAUGAAUGUAAUGCGGUAUAUGUUUGUAAUUAUUUUGCUUUUAUGGGGUAUUUGCUUAUUUUCCCCUUUUCAUAAAUCUAACUUGAGGUGGGCUGAGUUCUAUUAAAUGUCGGUUGGGCUUGUUUUGCAAUUUCUAAAAGCCCAUUAAGUUUUGGCAUCUAUAUAUAUUUGGGUCAUUCACCAUGAAGUUAAGGAUUAAAAAAAUUUCUUUCCAUAUGACAUUCAUAUUUAAACGAAUUUAAAUUAUAUAUACCAACAAUAUAAAGUCUACAAUCAGUAUAAUUUAACGUGUUCUAGUUAGCAUGUUGUUUACCUUGAUUUGCAGGUUAUUAAUUUCACUUAUAAUGAAGAGUCAUGAUCUAUAGUUACUUUUAGACGAGUUGACAGUAAGAAAAUUUCUUUAAAGCUCUAGCAUACAAUUUUUCGAGAAACAAAAAAUAUAACAAAUGGAGAUAAGCCUAAAAUACCUUCGAACUAUUGGAAACGGAGGUACACACCACUCUCUUCAGACCCCACUUGUGAAAUUACACUAGGUAUGUUACGUUGUUACUCUGUUUCACUUACAAAACACUUUUGCAAAAUAUCAUAUUUUUCUUUUUUUUCCCAUCAGUAGUCUUUGUGGAAAUUGGGUUAGACUUUGGUGGAAUAUUGAUGGAGUUCUAACAAGUCUUGUGGUAAUUUAUUGAGAAGUUUGUAAAACAGACUAAUCAAUUACUUGGAAUGAUCUUCACAAAAUUAUUCAAAACAUACUAACUAAUUAAGCAGGAAAACACAUAUCAAACAAAAUUUUAAAUAAAAUUCCACACGGUAUUGGAAAUUUGUCACAAAAUUCUGCAGAAAUAUUUUCUACCGUGAGUGUUACGUAACGAGACCAAUUAAUUCACAUCAUCUUGCAUAACACACGCUGCAGAGAUAUAUAGUCGAUGACCUUGAAAUGAAUAACAACAUCUAGAGAAAAUGAGGACAUAGGGAGUAUUAUUUUGUUAAGUCUUCUUCGUGCUCUGAAAAGUCUUGUGGAACACUAUAAAAUAAUGUGUAACACGUUGUUAGAAGUGACUAGUACUCAUUCAUGGACCACAAAUGACUGAAAAUUGACUUAACACUUGGGACAACUUUUUAGUAACCACAAAUUAUUACCCCAUUUUAUUUGUCUGGAUGUGUUUCUUUUCUUCGUUAAUUUAUAAUUGAUAGUCCCGUGCAUAAACAAGUCAACAACGCUGCUUUAUGAAUUACUGUUUAGUUAAUUGUUCACUUUAUUUAAUGUGGAGGUCGUUGUAAUAAUUAAGAAUUGGAAUAGUGUUUGGUUAAUUAUAGUGCAUCCUUUCUUAUGUGGCUACUUAUUUUAUUGACUUAUACAUGUCUUGACAAUUAUCAUGAACCCACAUCAUUAUUUUUACGUUUACCUUUUUUAUUCUUUCAUUAUUAAAUAUUCUAAAGUCUACCAAAUGGUAAAACCUUUUACAUUAUACAAAAUAUAUUGUUGGGUGUUAAUAAAAAGAUCAAUUUGUUUUUUGGUGUAUUCUUUAAAUUACAAGCACUACAACAAAAACAACUUUUAGCGGCAAUAAAUAUACACAUUAAUAAAGAGUGUUAAAGUUUUUACCAGCAUUGGUUAAGUAUCAUUAGAUUCAAUGUCGCUAAAAACUUUAGAGACAUACACAAAGAGGGUUAAUUGCCACUAAAAAUACAUUAUAUCAUUAUAUCAAAUUCAACACAACUAUUUCAAUAUCAUUAUAUAAACUUCUUAAAGUUUUGAGUAGGAUUUUAUUAUUCUAACUUUAUAUUAUAUCUUUUCAUUGAAAAUUUUCGUUGUUUGUAUUCUUACUUAAUAAAGGUUUGUGUACCUCCUACUUCCUUGAAACUCUACGCAGUAUGUUAUAAGUAUUUUAAUUUAUGUAUGACAACUAAAAAAAUAAUUAGAGGGCCUUGCCUGUAUGUUUUCAUAGAAUUUUGAUUAUUCUUACAAAUCUAUAAAAAAAUUACAAAGGACACUUAGAAAGUAGUAUAUAUAUGUGUGGAUAAUACUGAUUGAUUUGUAAGAACACAUCCAUCCUGUUAUUUGCUGAAAACAAACAAACAAAAAAUGGUGACUCUGUUUUUCUUUUAUUCAUUUCAGUGUUUUGUGUUGCUAAUAAGUGAAUGUUUUUCUUCAUCCUUUGAUCAUCGUCUUUGCUCUCCCACUGAAGCUUCUGCUUUGCUUCAGUUCAAACAAUCCUUUCAAAAUAUGUCCAGAGAGUCCUGUAAUUAUUCGUGUCAUGGAGAUUGUUUCCCAAUAACAAAGUCUUGGAAUGAGAGUAGGGAUUGCUGCACUUGGGAUGGAGUCACUUGUGACAUGUUAAACGGUCAUGUUAUCGCCCUGGACCUUAGUUGCAGUCAGCUUGUUGGCAAUUUUCAUCCCAACAGCAGCCUCUUCCAACUUCAUCAUCUCCAGACACUAAACCUUGCUUACAAUGACUUCAAUUGGUCUUCAAUCCCACAUAACAUUGGCCGAUUGACGAAUUUGAGGCAUCUCAACCUUUCAUGGUCUCACUUUAGUGGAAAAAUCCCAACAGAAAUCUCAUACCUUUACAAUUUGGUUUCACUUGAUCUUUCUGUGAUUGGAUUCCAACUUGAUGAGACAACAUUUGUAACAAUGCUUCACAACUUCACAAAUCUGGAGGUACUUUCUCUUUAUGGUGUCAACAUCUCAUCUCCGCUACCUGUGAACAUUUCUUCCUCCUUAAGGUACGUGGAUCUUGAAUAUACUAAUCUGCUAGGUGUUCUCACAGAGAGCUUUUUCCUUCUGCCAAACAGCUUGGAAACGCUCAAAUUGAGUGGGAAUGAUCUUCUCAAAGGAGUUUUUCCAAAGAUCCACCCGAGCAACACUCUGUUAAUGGAGUUGGAUAUUUCAUCCACAGGCAUCUCUGGUGAGCUGCCUCAUUCAAUUGGCACCUUCAGUUCCUUGAAUAUCUUGAACCUCGAACAAUGUCAAUUCUCUGGUUCCAUUCCUGAUUCCAUAGGCAACCUAACACAAAUUACGGAGUUGAUUUACUUGGGAAUCAGUAGUCAUAGGCUACACUUUUGGACUAGUUGUUGGAACUGUCAUGUGGAGUCUCAUGUUUAAAUAUCGUAAGCCAAAAUGGUUUGUGGAAUUUUUUGAUGGACUCAUGCCUCACAAAAGAAGAAGGCCAAAGAGAAGAGCUCAAAGACGACGGACUUAAUGGAAGAUUGAGAGGGCAACCUUGUCUUUGUUUGAUUUUGUGGACUAAUUACUGAACUUUUCUGGUUCUGUUUUUGUCUUUUUAAUUUUCUGUUUGUUGUUUGUAUAUGUUUGAAAGAAACAUAAUUAUAUGUGAGUCAUUUAAUUAGUAUCAAUGGUUAUUCAAGUUAUGUUAGUUUGUUUCUGUUUCAAGUUGAUAGAAGUGAUCUACACAGCCGCUCAUUAGCUAUGUUACUCAAACUCUUCAAAAUGUCAACGGGUACGUGUUGAAUUCUUCAAAAGUAGUACAAUUUUAAGGAACCAACAUUGGUGUCAUUAUAUUUUAGGAGAGUCGGAGCAACAUAACUCAUCAGCAUAACAAAACAGGAAAAAGCAAAGCAGUAAGCAAAUUGAUCAGUUUGGUUUAUGAUUGAAAUCACUUGAUAUUAGAAAGUUUAUAUUUUUGAAAAUUAAUGUAGAAGAGUAAUCAAAACUACAGAAUUGGCUAAUAAUUUUGUGGUUCUGCAUCUUUCUAAUCAUAAAUCAGCCAUAAAAUAUUCUCUAGCUCAGUUUCAACUUCCGCGAUUUUAAUUUUAGUAAGUUUUUACAUAUAUUUAUACUUCGUGGACGAAAGUUAUCUCUGGUUGUUCAACAACUAAUUCAUAUUGUUUGAUUAUCAAUGAAGGAAAGGUUUUUUUAAAGGGCAAAACGCUCUAUACGAGGAUUUUUUAUUAUUUUUCAAGUUUGAAUUCAAGACCUGUGAUUCAGUUUCAUCCGGAACUUUACUGUCUACAAAACUACAUGUCAAAGUUAUUUUUGAUGAACUAAAAUAGACUUAUUCCCAAAAUUUAAUUUAACGCAAAAAGAAAUAUAAUCAAAUUAUUUAAAAAUUAAGAAAGACAAAUUAAAACCUUUACAUAAUUUGACACAUGGCAAAAUAUAAUUGGCUAAAAUUUUGGUCCCACAAAUAGUCAACUCACCUGUCAAAAAAUGACAUUCCUAUUUUCUUUUCCUAAUUUUAGUUUGGACACUUUGAAAACAAUUAAAGUAUCUUUGUCUGGUUAUGGCCGUUCAAAGCUUUGAUUAUAACAAGAAAGAUGAUUGAAAAUAUCGGUUUUCUUCCUUUUAAUUGGUUUGUUUUAUUAUUUUUUUGAAAUUUAAUUUAUUUAUCGUACUUUAUACUUAAAUUUGUCUCAAAAAGAAUAAUACGUUUCACAUAUAUAUAUAUAUAUAUAUUUAAGACUAUAACAUUAAAAGAUAUUUUGAUAUGUUUUUUAUAUAACUUUAAUUUAAUAUUAUAUCAUUGAAAAUUCUUCUUUACUUAUAUAUUUUUUUUAUUUUGAAUUUUUAUAUUUCAAUAUUCCACGUGACACGUUAAAAAGUCACUUUAGUAGUAUAAGAUUCAAAAGAUUUUUUUUUCACUUUGUUAAACUUAUAUCAAGUCGAUAGAAACUAGACAAACAAAUUAAAACGAAGUCACACUUUUCAAUACAUAUUCCAACUUUCAUUGAGUCUGAAGAUAUACUUUCUGAUUUAUUUAUUUUCAAGAAUUUACCUGUUGGAAGAACCCCACCAGAAGAAAACUCCAAAAAACAGACUAAAAAUCCCAACUUUGAGUUUUUCUUUCAACAAUUAUAAGUUUCAGUGAAAAUCUCAAGAUGUAAUUUUUUUCAAGAAUUCAUCUUUUAGGAAAACCCCAUAAGAAGAAAACUCCAAAAACAGAUUCAAAAUCUCACCUUUUUUUUAGAUCUUUUCAACAUUUUUCAGUUUAUUAGCUUACAAAAAUCACUGAACAAGGAAGAAGGGAUUCAAGAAAAAGUGGAAUAAAAAUGUCAUUUGUUUUAGGGGUUGUGUUUGGAAUAGCAUUUGGACUUGCUAUAAUAGUUGCUUUUGUGAAAUCUGAAAAUGCUAGAUCCAAACAACGUACUGAUCUGGUUAGUCAACUAAAGUCUUUGUUUUUUUUGGAUCUUUAUUUUUUUCCAUUUCUGGGUUUUUUUUUUGUAUUUAUGUUGUUUUUUUGGUUGAAUUGUAAAGGCUAGUGGAAUUGCUGCAUUUGCUAGAAUGACAGUGGAAGAUUCAAGAAAAAUCUUUACACCAGAACAAUACCCUUCUUGGGUUGUUUUCUCAAAUCAACAAAAGGUGAAGUCGUUUAACUUUUCUUUAAGAUGUAUUUGGUAGGACGCAGAGGCGGAGUCAGAAUUUUUAGUUUAUAUGGGUUCUAGACCACUGUUCUUUUUGUUUUGUUGGGUUUCUGAAAGCUAUGUUGCUCGGACUCUCAGAAAAUGUUGUUUGUACCCAUUCUGGAUUCUCUAAAGUUGCACUAGUUUGGAGUAUACGACACUAACCAUCAACCGUAACCAUUUUUGAAGAGUCCGAACAACAUUGACUGAAAAGACUAUUUUUACAUCUUAUAACAUUAAUAUAGGGUUAAACCAAAGCUACUGGAUUUUGAUGUACUUGUAGCUAAAGCAAUGUCAUUUAUCAUAAAUCUGUAAACUGACUUAUUUUCUAGAAAAUGUUUUUCGUAAUGGAUUUUUUUUUCUGGGAAAAGACAUUUAAUCGGAUAGUGUUUGGUGAAAAUAUUUGAGUAGUAAAGAUUGAUAAUAAUGUUUAUAUGUUGAGAUAAUUGUUUGCUCCUUUUUGGUGGAAAAUGUUUUCGCAAAACAUAUGUUCUAGCAGCCAAAAUCAGAAAAAAGAGAUUACAAACACACCGUUGAUGUCCUUAUCUGUUUUUGGAGCACAUAGUGACCAUAUAAGAUCAUUGAGAUUAAAUUCAUGCAUUAUGGUUCAAAUUGUGGUCUUUGGUUGCAAGACUGUCCCUUUAUGGACUUUGUUUAAUUUCUAUCUAGAAUACAUCUUGUGAUUUAGUUUGUUGAGGGCAAAAAAUGACCUUUUGAAUUUUUCAAUUUUGUUCUUACAGUUGGCAUGGCCAGAUGUUGUGAUUUAGUCAACUAAAGUUUUUGUUUUUUCUUACUUCAAUUUUUUUGGAUUUUUAGUUUUUUCCAUUUUUGGGGUUUUCUGUAUUUAUGUUGUUUUUUUGGUUGAAUUGUUAAGGCUAGUGGAAUUGCUGCAUUUGCUAGAAGGACAGUGGAAGAUUCAAGAAAAAUCUUCACACCAGAACAAAUACCCUUCUUGGGUUGUUUUCUCAAAUCAGCAAAAGAUGAAGUCUUUAACUUUUCUUUAGGAUGUAUUUGGUAGGACGUAGUGGCUGAGUCAGAAUUUUUAGUUUAUAUGGGUUCUAGACCAUUGGUUCUUUUUUGCUUUGUUGGGUUUCUGAAAAUUAUGUUGUUCGGACUCUCAAAAAAUGUUGUUUGUACCCGUGUCGGAUUCUCUAAAGUUGCACUAGUUUGGAGUAUACGCCAGUAACCCAUCACCCAUCACCAUUUUUGAAGAGUCCGAGCAACAUUGACUGAAAAGACUAUUUAUACAUCUUAACAUUAAUAUAGGGUUAAACCAAAGCUACUGGAUUUUGCCGUACUUGUAGCUAAAGCAAUGUCAUUUAUCAUAAAUCUGUAAAAUGACUUAUUUUCUGGAAAAUGUUUUUCGUGAUGGAUUUUUUUCUGGGAAAAGACAUUUAUUGUAGAUUGAAUCAGCAAAUUGGAUAGUGUUUUGGUGAAAAAUAUGUGAGUAGUAAAGAUUGAUAAUAAUGUCUAUAUGUUGAGAUAAUUGUUGUUCCUUUUUGAUGGAAAAUAAGAUUUUACCAAACACACUGUUGAUGUCCUUUACUGUUUUUGAGCACAUAGUGACCAUAUAAGAUCAUUGAGAUUAAAUUAGUGCAUUAUGGUUCAAAUUGUGGUCUUUGGUUGCAAGACUGUCCCUUUAUGGACUUUGUUUAAUUUCUAUCUAGAAUACAUCUUGUGAUUUAGUUUGUUGAGGGCAAAAAAUGACCUUUUGAAUUUUUCAAUUUUGUUCUUACAGUUGGCAUGGCUUAAUUCUCAUCUUGAAUAGAUCUGGCCAUAUGUGGAUGAGGUUAGGGGUUCAAUGUCUAUACAUAGUUUAGUUUUCCACUCUAUUGCGAUUCUGCAAUUUUUCAUUUCCCCCUUUUUUUGGUUCUAAUUUAUGAUUGUUUGAACUUCUUUGUUGCUAAUUGAGUCGGUAUGGGUAUAUAUGGUAAUUCAGGCAGCAUCAGAACUAGUAAAGUCAAGUGUGGAGCCAGUUUUGGAACAAUAUAGGCCUGUGAUUUUGGCGUCGUUAAAAUUUUCAAAGUUCACUCUUGAUACAGUUGCUCCACAAUUCACAGGUUAGUAGAUUAUGGCUGGUGUAACCUGCCUCAAAGCUCUUGUAUAUUGUACUACCUAAAAGUUUUAGGAGUCACUUAUACAUAUGAACAAACUUAUCAGUCCUCUAGGUCUUUAUGGCAUGCUUAUGUCUGGAGUAGCGUAACAUUUCCCUGCACGGACACCACCACCAUCAAAAAAAAAAAACGGCAUAACAUUUUCUUGCCAUUUAUAGCCUCUUGAGAUGUCAAAAUGUGACAAAUAAUUUGAGACAGGCAAGGGUAUAAAAGAUAUUCAAACCUCAAAGAGCAAUCCUAUCAUCUCGUGUCAGUUAAUCCUUAAUAAAAGAAACUGCUUGUGAGGAUGAAUCUCACUACAUUUAACAAAUGCUUGAUCUCAUGUAUAUGCCACUGCAGGGAUUUCUAUUAUUGAAGAUGGAAGUGAGGGUAUUACUAUGGAAUUAGAGAUGCAAUGGGAUGGUACCAUACCAUCUUGGGUGUUUAGCCUACCUUUGCUAUCUUCAGUGUCGCUCCAACAUAACCGAUUCAGAGGUCUAGCUGAUGAAGUGAUCAAAACCGCUCCAACAUAACCGAUUCGGAGGACUAGCCGAUGAAGUGAUCAAAACAAACCCAACAUUAAAACAACUGCAUUUAAGCAAUAAUCAACUCAGUGGUUCUUUUCCUCAAUCACUUGUGAAUCUCACAAACCUUAAAACCCUUGGACUUUCAUCAAAUAACAUCACCAUUGAUGAGGGAAUGAAUAUCACCUUUCUUAGCCCAUCAUCUUUAUUCUUAUCAUCUUGUCAACUGAAGGAUUUUCCACACUUCUUGAGAAAUGUAAAGACACUUGUGUACUUGGAUAUUUCUAACAAUAUGAUUCGUGGUCAAAUUUCUGACUGGUUUAGCGGCAUGAGGUGGGACAACUUGUGGUACCUAAAUAUUUCACAUAAUCUUUUGACAGGUUACCUACCACAAUUGCAUUUCCAUAAUCUAGGGUAUCUUGAUCUGAAAUUUAACUCCCUUCUGGGUCCACUACCCUCAUCCAUUUGUAACAUGAGUUCGCUUAUCUUAUUAGAUUUAUCACGCAACAACUUCAGUAACUACAGUUUCGUAUGAGGAUUCAUUGAGUUUGGUAAUCAAAGGGCAGGAUAUUGAGCUACAAAGAAUCAACACAAUUAUGACAACCAUAGAUCUCUCAAGCAAUCAUUUUGAAGGUGUGAUUCCGAAAACACUAAAGGAUCUCAGCUCACUUUGGCUACUCAAUUUAUCCCAUAACAAUCUCAUAGGUCAUAUUCCAAUGGAACUAGGGCAAUUGAAUACGCUUGAAGCUUUAGAUCUCUCUUGGAAUUGGCUCACUGGAAAUAUUCUGCAGGAACUGACAAGAAUGAACUUUCUGGCCUUCUUAAACGUCUCUCAAAAUCAUCUUGUCGGACCAAUUCCUCACGGUCUACAGUUCAACACAUUCGAAAAUUAUUCGUAUGGCGGAAACCUUGAUUUAUGUGGUCUUCCUUUAUCAAAGCAAUGUGGAACGAGUGAUUCAUCACAUGUUCCUCAACCAUUGGAGUCCGCAGAAGAAGGCGAGUCAUAUUUUUUUAGUGGAUUUUCUUGGGAAUUAGUAGUAAUAGGCUACAGUUUUGGACUUGUCGUUGGAACUGUCAUGUGGAGCCUCAUGUUUAAAUAUCGUAAGUCAAAGUGGUUUGUGGAAUUUUUUGAUGGACUCAUGCCUCACAAAAGAAGAAGGCCAAAGAAGAGAGCUCAGAGACGAAGGACUUAAUGGAAGCUUGAGAGGGCUAAAUUGUCUUUGUUUGAUUUUGUGGACUAGUGAACUGUUCUGUUUUUGUCUUUUUUUAAUUUUCUAUUUGUUGUUUGUAUAUGUUAGAAACAUAAUUAUAUGUGUGUUAUUGUAGUAUUCAAUUUAUGUUAGUUUGUUUCUGUUUCAAAUUGACAGAAGUGAUCUACACAGCAACUCUAGCUAUGUUACUUAGAUUUUUCAAAAAUGUCAACGGGUACGUGUUGGAUUCUUCAAAAGUUGUGUAUUUAUUAAGGAACCAACAUGAGCAGUGGCGGAUCCAGGAUUUUCAUUAAGGGGUUCGAAAAAAAGAGAGCAGUGCUUAAGAUUUGAGGUUUGAACCCCUCAACCACUAAACUAACCUCUAAUCUUAUAUUCAGGAGGUUCAAAAUCAAUAUAUAAACAUAAAAAUUCUUUAAAAUACCUUAAAUAUACAACAUAAUUUUUUGCCGAGGGAGUUGGUCCACCCCUGAACAUGGGUGCGACAUCAUCAUAUUUUAGGAGAGUCCGAGCAACAUAGCUCAUUAAUACAACAAAAUUGGAUAAAGCAGUGCAGUAAGCAUAUAGAGUUUGGUUCAUGAUUGAAAUUAGUUGAUAUUAGAAAGUUUAUAUUUGUGAAAAUUGAUGUAGAAGAAUGCUCAAAACUACAGAAGUGGCUAAUAAUUUUGUGGUACUUCAUCUUUCUAGUCAUAAAACAUCCUUAAAAUGUUCUCUAACUCAGUUUCAACUUCUGCAAUUUUUAUUUUGGUAGAUUUUUACAUAUAUUUAUACUUCAUGACGAGUGUUAUGUCUCACGUGAUCCAACAACUAAUUCAUACUGCUUGAUUAUGAAUGAGGAAAUUUUUUUGUUUUUGGGAAAAAUGCUCUCUGGAAUCGGCUCACUGGAAAGAUUCCAAGGGAACUGACAAGACUAAAAUUCCUGGCAGUCUAAAAACUCUGUCUGAAUGUUCUUUUUAGACCGAUUGCAUGCUCCUCGUCCAUUGGAGUCCGAAGAAGAAGAAGAAGAAGAGAGUCGUAUUUUGCUAGUUGUGGAUUAAUUGUUGUAACUGUCAUGUGGCACCUCAUGUUUAAAGAUGGUAAGCUGAACAUGUGAUCCUUCAAUACAAUUAGUCUCUCAGUUUUUUUUGCUUGAGUAUCAUUUUUUUUAUCUUCUUAAUUUGAUCACUAUACCUUUAUCUUGAGUCGAGGGUCUACAGAAACAACAUCUCCACUACUUUGGUUAUUUUCCAUCUCUUCAUAUUUGAACUGUAUCAUAUAGAUGGAAUUUCCCUCAUUAACUUAAUGUUAAAAAUCUUUUGGAAAACAGCACAAGAGACAACUAAUCGGAAAUUUCUCUACAGGUGGAAGGAUCUUCACCAAGUUAUUCAGAACAUACUAAUUAAGCAGGAAAACACAGAUCAAACAAAAUUUUGUAUAAAAUUCCACAAGGAGGAAAUGAAGGACUUAAAUCAUGUCUUUAAUUAUUGUUCAUUUUUUUCCUCACUUGACUUAGUCAAGCAAUAGUUUCUACCAUUUGAAAUUUCUAAGAAGUUCUGCAGAAAUUUUUUCUACAUAAUGGGACCAAUUUCACAUUAUCUUGCGUAACACACUGCAGAGAUAGUUAAUGACUUUGAAAUGAACACAACAUCAAGAGAAAAAUAGGACAUAGAGAGUAUUAUUUUGUUAAGUCUUCUCCGUCCUCUAAAAAGUCUUGUGGAACACUACAAAAUAUGAGUAUCAAGUUGUUAGAAGUGAGUAGUACUCAUCUUGUAAUUCAAUUGUUCAUCAGUCCCGAUUCAUCAUAAUCUUUUUUUUUCCUCUAGUCUUUGUGGAAAUUGGCUUAAAGUCUUACAAGUCAUCGUCCGCUAGUUACAAUACUGUAUCACUUUUUUCCUUAGUUGGAAUGGAAUAUUGAUGGAUUUUCCCUUAUUUACUUAAUGUGAAAAUUAUUGUGUACCUAACAAGUUUGAAAAUAGCAGAAGAGACAACUAAUCACUCACUCGGAUUGACCUUUUCUGAUUGUAUAGAUUUCAUGGAAAAAUUGCACCAAAAUUUAUUUAAUCCUCAAUUGACUUGGUCAUGCAACAGUUUCUCUUUGAAAAGUAUUGUGGAAAACAGAAGAGAUGUUGAUGGAAAGUUGGACAAGGUUGACAUAAAACAGGAGUUCAAAUAACUAUAAAAUAUGUAUGGAUUUUGAAAAAACAGAACAUUCUGUAAUAUGCUGUAAACAAAAAGUAAUUCCCGUGACCAGUUCAGUUCAAGGUUGGUCACGGGAGGGUUGAAUAAAAAUCACUUGAAAGUUGUUAAGGGGGUAUUUAAAUGUUCAUGUAGUUUAAGUCCUAAAGUAAAUUUGGCUAUCAAGUUUGAGGGUGAUUUUAGGAUUUUUCUCAAAAGUUAGCAGUCAAAUUGAAAAAAGUGUUCAAAUUGGGAAAAUAUGUAAAAAUUGUUAUUUUCCAUCUCUUCCUAUUUGAACUGUAUCAUAUAGAUGGAAUUUCCCUCAUUAACUUAAUGUGAAAAGUCUUCAGCACAAGAGACAACUAAUCGGAAAUUUCUCAUAAAAUUUCUCUGCAGGUGGAAUGAUCUUCACCAAGUUAUUCAAAACAUACUAAGCAAGCAGGAAAUGAAGGACUUAAAUCAUGUCUUUAAUUAUUGUUCAGUUUUUUCCUCACUUGACUUAGUCAAGCAAUAGUUUCUACCAUUUGAAAUUUCUAAGAAGUUCUGCAGAAAUUUUUUCUACAUAAUAGGACCAAUUUCACAUCAUCUUGUGUAACACACACUAUAGAGAUAGUUAAUGACUUCGAAAUGAACACAACAUCUAGAGAAAAUGAGGACAUAUGGAGUAUUAUUUUGUUAAGUCUUCUCCGUCCUCUAACAAGUCUUGUGGAACACUACAAAAUAUGAGUAACAAGUUGUUAGAAGUGACUAGUACUCAUUUUUGAUUCAAUUGUUCAUCAGUCCCGAUUCAUCAUAAUCUUUUCCCCCCCUCUAGUCUUUGAGGAAAUUAUCUUAAAGGCUUACAAGUCAUCGUCUGCUAGUUACAGUACCGUAUCCCUUUUUUCCUUAGGUGGAAUGGAAUAUUGAUGGAUUGUCCCUUAUUAACUUAAUGUGAAAAUUAUUGUGUACCUAACAAGUUUGAAAAUAGCAGAAGAGACAACUAAUCACUGACUCGGAAUAUUGACCUUUUAUGAUUGUAUAAAUUCCAUGGAAAAAUUGCAUAAAAAAUUAUUGCAUUCUUUGUGGAAAUUGUCUUAUUAAAGACUUUGGCUUCAAAGAACAAAAUAAAAUUCCACACGGUAUUAUUGUUUUGUUGUUACAUACUCUUAAGUUGAUGUCUUUAAUUAUUCUUCAUUUUUUUUCCUCACUUCAUGACUUAGUCAAGCAAUAGUUUCUCUCAUUGGAAAUUUUUCACAACUUAUGCAGAAAUAUUUUCUACUGUGAGUGUUACGUAACUUGACCAAUUUCACAUCAUCUUGCGUAACACACACCGUAGAGAUAGUCGAUCGAUGAUCUCGAAAUGAACAACAACAUCUAGGGAAAAUGAUGUGUACCAAGUCGUUAGAAGUGACUAGUACUCAUUCAUGGACCAUAUGUGACUGAAAAUUGACUUUACACUUGGGACAACAUUUUUUGCAACCACAAAUUAUUACCCCAUUUAUUUAAUUAUCUAUGUGUUUCUUUUCUUUCGUUAAUUUAUACCUCAAUAGUCCCAUGCAUAGACAAGUCAACAACGUUACUUUAUGAAAUAUUGUUUAGUUAAUUGUUUACUUUAUUUAAUGUGGAGGUUGUUGUAAUAAUUAAGAAAUGGAAUAGUGUUUAGUUACUUAUAGCAUCCUUUCCUACAUGGCUACUUAUUUUAUUGACUUAUUUAUAUCUUGGCAAUUAUCAUGAAUUUUGAUAAUGCAUGUUUUCAUUGAACACGGGUGCAACUUAGAAAGUAGUAUAUAUAUGUGUGGAUAAUACUGAUUGAUUUGUAAGAAGAACACAUCCAUCCUGUUAUUUGCUGAAAACAAACAAACAAAAAAUGGUCAUGAGUCUGUUUUUCUUUCAUUCAUUUCUGUAUUUUGUGUUGCUAAUAAGUAUGUUUUUCUUCUUCCUUUGAUCAUCAUCUUUGCUCUCCCACCGAAGCUUCUGCUUUGCUUCAGUUUAAGCAAUCUUUUGGAGUUGAUUACAACUACUCCAAAUGUUUUACUUCUUUCCCAAAAAGAAAGUCUUGGAAUGAGAGUAGGGAUUGCUGCAGUUGGGAUGGAGUCACUUGUGACUUAUUAAACGGUCAUGUUAUCGGGUUAGACCUUAGUUGUAGUCUGCUUAGUGGAAGUAUUCAUCCCAAUAGCACCCUCUUCCAACUUCAUCAUCUCCAGGCACUAAACCUUGCUUACAAUCACUUCAGCUAUUCUUCAAUCCCACAUAACAUUGGCCGAUUGACAAAUUUGGUUUCGCUUGAUCUUUCUUCUGAUUUUUAUGGACUACAACUUGAUGAGAGAACAUUUGAAACAAUGCUUCAAAACUUGACAAAUCUGGAAGUACUAUCUCUCUUUCUUGUCAACAUCUCAUCUCCGAUGCCUGUGAAUAUUUCUUCCUCUUUAAGGUACCUGGAUCUUCGUUAUACUAAUCUGCGAGGUGUUCUAACAGAGAGCUUUUUCCUUCUGCCAAACAGCUUGGAAACGCUCAAACUGAGUGGGAAUGAUCUUCUCAAAGGAGUUUUUCCAAAGAUCCACCGGAGCAACACUCUGUUAAUGGAGUUGGAUAUUUCAUACACAGGCAUCUCUGGUGAGCUGCCUCAUUCAAUUGGCACCUUUAGUUCAUUGAAAUACUUAAACCUCCAAGGAUGCCAAUUCUCUGGUUCCAUUCCUAAUUCCAUUGACAACCUAACCCAAAUUACGGAGUUGAUUUUAUCUUAUAAUCAUUUCACUGGACAUAUUCCUUCCACAAUCUCUAAAUUGAAGUACCUCACAAAUUUACAUCUUUCUGACAACUCCUUUUCAGGUGAAAUUCCUGAUGUUUUUUCUAAUCUCAAAGAGCUACGUUAUUUAGAUCUUUUUAAUAACAGCUUCAUCGGUCCAUUUCCUGCUUCAAUUUUAAGUUUGACACAUCUUGAAUACUUAGGAUUGUCGAGUAAUUCCCUAUCUGGCCCACUGCCUAGCAAAGCAAGCAUGCUUCAAAAGCUAUCCGAACUGCAUUUGUCUUACAACUCGCUGAAUGGUACCAUACCAUCUUGGGUGUUUAACCUCCCUUUGCUAUCUUCGUCGUGGCUCAAUCAUAAUCAAUUUAGUGGACUAGCCGAUGAGAUCAAAACAAACCCAACAUUAGAAUUCCUGUAUUUAAAUAAUAAUCAACUCAGCGGUUCUUUUCCUCAAUCACUUGUGAAUCUCACAAACCUUUCUACCCUUGACCUUUCAUCAAAUAACAUCACUAUUGAUGAGGGAAUGAAUAUCACCUUUCCUAGCCUUGAAAUUUUGCAGUUAUCAUCUUGUGAACUGAAGGAUUUUCCACACUUGUUGAGAAAUGUAAAGACACUUCAGGUCUUGGAUAUUUCUAACAAUAAGAUUUGUGGUCAAAUCCCUAACUGGUUUAGCGGCAUGAGGAUGGGACUCGUUGCAGCUAUUAAACCUUUCUCAUAAUUCAUUAACAGGCCACCUACCACAAUUUCAUUUCCAUAAUCUAGUGUCUCUUGAUCUGAAAUUUAACUCCCUUCAGGGUCCACUACCUUCAUCCAUUUGUAACAUGAGCAGACUUUUCUUAUUAGAUUUAUCACAUAACUACUUCAGUGACUCAGUUGCACAUUGCUUGGGAAGCAUGGCUAGUCUAACCGUGCUAGACUUGAGAAGGAACAAUUUCAUAGGGAAUCUUCCCCCAUUAUGUGCACAGGGCACUUCAUUGAGUACCAUUGUCGUAAAUGGUAAUCGAUUUGAAGGACCUGUACCUGUGUCGUUGCUCAAGUGUAAUGUUCUAGAAGUCCUUGAUGUGAGGAACAAUGCUAUAAAUGACACAUUUCCAGCUUGGCUCGGAACUCUUCAAGAGCUGCAGGUCCUUAUAUUAACGUCGAACAAGUUCCAUGGACCUAUAAGUACUUGUCAGACUAAGCUUUGCUUUCCCAACUUGCAAAUUUUUUAUCUUUCUCGUAAUGAUUUCAGUGGCUCACUUCCUGCAAAAGUUUUUGGAAACUUCAAGGCAAUGAUCAAAUUAGAUGACGAAGACACAAGAGAGAUCAAGUACAUGGAAUCUAAGUCAAAUUUGUCAUUUGACACAUCUUAUGAGGAUUCAGUGAGUUUGGUAAUCAAAGGGCACGAUAUUGAGCUACAAAGAAUCAGCACAAUUACGACAACCAUAGAUCUCUCAAGCAACCAUUUUGAAGGUGUCAUUCCGGAAACACUAAAGGAUCUCAGCGCACUUUGGCUACUCAAUUUAUCCCACAACAAUCUCAUAGGUCAUAUUCCAAUGGAAUUGGGGCAAUUGAAUACACUUGAAGCUUUAGAUCUCUCCUGGAAUCGGCUCACUGGAAAGAUUCCGCAGGAAUUGACAAGAAUAAACUUUCUAGCAGUCUUAAACCUCUCCCAAAAUCAUCUCGUCGGACCAAUUCCUCAAGGUCCACAAUUCAACACAUUUGGAUAUGACUCAUAUGGUGGCAACCUUGAUUUAUGUGGUCUUCCUUUAUCAAAGCAAUGUGAAACAAGUGAUUCAUCACAUGUUCCUCAACAAGAAGAUGAAGGCGAGUCAUAUUUUUUUAGUGGAUUUACGUGGGAAUCAGUAGUCAUAGGCUACAGUUGUGGUCUAGUUGUUGGAACUUUUCAUGUGGAGUCUCAUGUUUAAAUAUCGUAAGCCAAAAUGGUUUGUGGAAUUUUUUGAUGGACUCAUGCCUCACAAAAGAAGAAGGCCAAAGAAGAGAGCUCAGAGAUGACGGACUUAAUGGAAGAUUGAGAGGGUAACCUUGUCUUUGUUUGAUUUUGUGGACUAAUUAGUGAACUUUUCUGGUUCUGUUUUUGUCUUUUCAAUUUUCUAUUUGUUGUUUGUAUAUGUUUGAUAGAAACAUAAUUAUAUGUGUGUUAUUCAAGUUAUGUUAGUUUGUUUCUGUUUCAAGUUGAUAGAAGUGAUUUACACAGCCACUCAUUAGUUAUGUUACUCAGACUCUUCAAAAAUGUCAACGACUACAUAUUGAAUUCUUCAAAAGUAGAGCAUUUUUUAUGAAACCAACACAAAUGCAACACCAUUUUAUUUUUAGGAGAGUCGGAGCAACAUAGCUCAUCAGCAUAACAAAAACAGGAAAUUGCACAAGCAAAUAGAUCAGUUUGGUUUAUGAUUGAAAUCACUUGAUAUUAGAAAGUUUAUAUUUUUGAAAAUUUAAGUAGAAGAGUACUCAAAACUACAUAAUUUGCUAAUAAUUUUGUGGUUCUGCAUCUUUAGAAUCAUAAAUCACUUAAAAUGUUCUCUAACUCAAUAUCAACUUCCGCAAAUUUAAUUUUAGUAAGUUUUUACAUAUAUUUAUACUUCGUGUACGAAAAAUAAUGUCUCUGGUUGUUCAACAACUAAUUCAUAUUGUUUGAUUAUCAAUGCGGAAAAGGUUUUUUUAAAAGGGCAAAAUGUUCUAUACAAGGAUUUUAGAAGUGACUAGUACUCAUUCAUGGACUACAAGUGACUUUGAGUCUUCCUGGAAAUUGACUUAACACUUAGGACAACCACAAAUUAUUUGUUUGGAUGUGUUUCUUUUCUUUCGCUAAUUUAUACCUCAAUAGUCCCAUGCAUAGACAAGUCAACAACGCUACUUUAUGAAAUACUGUUUGGUUAAUUGUUCACUAUAUUUUAAUGUGGAGGUCGUUGUAAUAAUUAAGAAAUGGAAUAGUGUUUGGUUAAUUAUAGCAUCCUUUCUUCCGUGACUACUUAUUUUAUUGACUUAUUUAUAUGUUGACAAUUAUCAUGAACCCAUAUUAUAUUAUUACUAGGUAAAUUACCCGUGCUUCGCACGGAAUUGAACUAUUUUAUUAAGCUUACAUAUGAUCAUUCGAUAAUAUUCAUAUUUUCGAUACAUACACUACAUUGUCAAGAUCAUUUUAUCUUAAGGCAAAACGUUCCUCCAAAAUCUUAAAGUGCUAUAUUUUUUUAAUUUUCAUUUUUGUUAUACAAAUAUUAUGAGUCAUAGAUAGAUUUUAAGUAUAAGAAAGAAGUCUAAGAAAAUCUCCUUGGAAAUAGUUGGUCAGAAGUAAUGGAAUAUUUUUAAUUCCAAGAAGUUAUAAAGAACAACAUCAGACGUUAAUAAAGAGACCAAAAAAGGUCGAACAACAACACUUCCAAGUAAAGUGGAGUAUCACGUCCAUACAAGAUCAUAAUUAACUAAAUUCAAAUGGACGACCAUGGACUCCUUUCUUAUGAACCUCCAUCAAUCUCUUUUUUAUUAUUGUAUGCCAUAUCAAGUAUAUGCUAAAAAUGACCCUAAAAUUGUUAUUAUCAUAAAUGUUUUUUUGUCAUUGUCUCAAAAUAGUCAUUACUAUUUUAAAGGUUUCAUAUCACCGGCCCCAACUUAUUUGGAUUAAACCAUAGUUAUUGUUAUGGUUAUAGUAUGCAGUUACAAAAAAAUUAAUGCAAUUAUCAGCCAAGCAAUAGGUGACAUCUGAAUGUUCACAACGGGAUAUUCUAAACAAAAAAUUUGACACAUAACAUAUUAAAAUCUCACAACAUAAUUUUGUGAGCACUUGAACUCACAAAUAUCCUAAAAUAAUAAUAAAGACAAUCUUACUUUCCUAACAAUCAAGAAGAAAAAGGCUCGUUGCUUAAUAUAUUUUUCAAAAAGAUAGUCUUUCGGGUUGUAUCCAAGUUCACAGUUCACAAAUUUAGUUGAAAGAAGCCAAAAGAAAGAGUUAUUACUUCUUUAUCAAAAAAAUUUAAAACUUUAUCAAAAGAAUGAGUUAUCACUACAACAAAAAUGAUCUUUAACGAUAAUUAAUAGCUUAAUUAUCGCUAAAUAUGUAUUUUCAGAGGCAAUUGGUACUCUGUAUAAAUGUUCCUAAAGUCUAUAGCAACAUUGAAUCCAAUGACAGUUAAUUCAUGUCGGUAAAGGCUGUAGCACUCUUCGUGAACGUGCAUAUUUAUUGCCGAUAAAAAAUAUUUUUGUUGUAGUGUAUUUUGGACAUUUGUUAGUUUUAAGAAAACUUGAUCUCUUAUUAUGCCCAAAAAGAAGAGAAGAGGAAAUAUGACAAAUUAGUUAACUUGCGAUAAAUGAUGUGGACUAAUUGUCUCUAUACAAAUUUUCUAGGAAUAGUGCAAUGGCAUACAAAAUGUUUGUACCUAAGAAAAAACAAUCAAAAUAAUAUACUAACUGUGGCAAACAAGAGAGAAAUCAUUUUGGUUCUUUUAACAAACUUCAUCAUUGGUUCCGUACUAGUUAUCAGAUUUUUGUUGUUGUGUGCUAUCAAAUAUAGCACAACCCACAAGCAAUUUUCCCAAAAAGUAUAUGAAGAAAAACUGUAGAAAGGGACAAAAGAGAAGAUAAACUUUCAAUCAUCCUCAUUGAAAUUUUGAACAUAAUUAAAAAAAAAGUCACCAAAAUAGCAAAAAGAAAUUGCAAUAGAUACAUGAAUCACUAUGAUUUAUAGUAAAAAAUUAAGCUUCAUGAAAUAGGAGGAAAAAAACUUUGAGAAAUGAAAUGCACUUUAUAAGAAACUUAAUUAAUGUAUUUGAUUUCGAAAAAAAAUACAAAUAAUAGUGGUAGAAAUAAAAGAUUUGUUUACUAAAGAACCAAAUGUAAUGAAUUCAGUCAUCAACCAUUUCAGCAGUGUUAUGAGUUGUGCACUGAGAGAUCCAAGAGCAGUAAUGUCGCAUUGCAAUUGAAAUCAAUUUUCUUUGUUUAUAUGAAGAAACCUGUAGAAAGUGACAAAAGAGAGGAUCAAUUUUCAAUCAUCCCUGCUGAAACUUUAACAGAGUUAAAAAAAAGGUCACCAAAAUAGGAAAAUGAAAUUGCCAUAGUUACAUGAAUCACCAUGACUUACAAUAAAGAUUAAGAUCCAUGAAAACUUUUAGGAAUGAAAAAAAUUCCUAAAAACUUAAUUAAUGUAUUUGAAUUUGACUACCCUAUAGAGGGAAAAAAACCUACAAAUUAUAGUGGCAGGAAAUUCCUCUAUUUAUAGACAACAUAGAGUAGUGUGAACAAAUUUUUAUUGUGCCUUAUCCGAGAUGUCACAACUCUUUGGAAAAGUUACAACCCUUCAGAAAGGUCACAACCUUUCAUAAAAGUCAUAAUUUUUCAUAAAAGUUGCAACUCUUCAUAAAAGUCACAACUUUUCAUAAAAGUCACAGCUUUUAAUGAAAAGGGAAGGCUAGUUUUGGAAAUAAAUAAAAUUUAAAAGGGAAUCCUAGUUUAUGGUGGCGCCACGUAGGCGGGCCUAGGGUUCUCUUUUAUAUAAAUUUUUGAUUUUUGAUAUAUGAUUUUUACGUUUACCUUUUUUAUUCUUCUUUCUAUUUUUAUUCUUUCAUUAUUAAAUAUUCUAAAGUCUAACCUUUUGCAUUAUACAAAAUAUAUUGUUGGGUGUUAAUAAAAAUAUCAAAUUUAUUUUUUGGUGUAUUCUUUAAAUUACAAGCACUACAACAAACACUACAAUAAAAACAACUUGUUGCGGUUUCUGAACCUUUCAUAUAAUUCAUUAACAGGCCACCUACCACAAUUUUAUUUCCAUAAUCUAGGGUAUCUUGAUCUUAAAUUUAACUCCCUUCAGGGGCCACUAUCUUCAUCCAUUUGAAACAUGAGCAUACUUAGACUUGGGGAAAUUGAAUGUGCUUGAAGCAAUGAUUAAAUUAGAUGACGGAGACAAAGGUGAGAUCAAAUAUAUGGAACAAUUGAGUGAAUAUUCAAUGUAUGAAGAUUCAGUGAGUUUGGUGAUCAAAGGCCAUGAUACUGAGCUAGAAAAAAUCAACACAAUUAUGACAACCAUAGAUCUCUCAAGCAACCAUUUUGAAGGUGUCAUUCCAAAAAUACUAAAGGAUCUUGGCUCACUUCGGUUACUCAAUUUAUCACGUAACAAUCUCAAAGGUGAUAUUCCAAUGGAACUGGGGCAAUUGAAUGUGCUUGAAGCAAUGGAUCUGUCCUGGAAUCGGCUCACUGGAAAUAUUCCUACUGAAUUGACAAGACUAAAAUUUCUAGCAGUCUUAAACCUCUCUCAGAAUGUUCUUGUCGGUCCAAUUCCUCAAGGUCUACAAUUCAACACAUUUGGAAAUGACUCGUAUGGUGGCAACCUUGAUUUAUGUGGUCUUCCUUUAUCAAAGAAAUGUGGAACGAGUGGUUCAUCACAUGUUCCUCAACCAUCGGAGUCGUAUUUCUUUAGUGGAUUUACGUGGGAAUCAAGGCUACAGUUGUGGACUAGUUGUUGGAACUGUCAUGUGGAGCCUCAUGUUUAAAUAUCGUAAUCCAAAAUGGUUUGUGGAAUUUUUUGAUAGACUCAUGCCUCACAAAAGAAGAAGGCCAAAGAAGAGAGCUCAGAGACGACGGAUUUAAUGGAAGAUUGAGAGGGCCAACUUGUCUUUGUUUGAUUUUGUGGACUAGUUAGUGAACUUUUCUGGUUCUGUUUUUGUCUUUCUGUUUGUUGUUUUGUAUAUGUUUGAAAGAAACAUAAUUAUUAUAUGUGUGGUAUUUUAGUAUCAAUGGUUAUUCAAGUUAAGUCUAUUUCUGUUUCAAGUUGACAGAAGUGAUCUACACAGCCACUCAUUAGCUAUGUUACUUAGACUCUUCAAAAAUGUCAAUGGGUACGUGUUGGAUUCUUCAAAAGUAAUGCAAUUUUUAAGGAAUCAACAUGGGUGUCAUUAUAUUUUAGGAUAGUCGAAGCAACAUAACUCAUCUUUCUUAACAUUUUCUGUUUCUGUAUUUAUUUCUUUUAAAGAUCAUUGCUUUGAUCUUAAUGGCUUUCAACCCAUAUUAGGAACACUUGAAAUGGCUGAACUCAUACACACAGAGGAUAGAAACUAUUCAGCUGUUGACUGAAGUGAUCCACUUAUUAGUACAACAAAACAGGAAAAGGCUACAUCCACCUCUGGGGCUCAUGUUGUUCUGUUUCUUCAAAUGCAAAACACUCUCUAUCAGGAUUUUCUUUAUUUUCAAGGUUCGAAUCCGAAACCCUUGGUUCAAUUUUACCUGGAACCAUGCAUUUAGCAUAACUAUAUGUCCUAUUGCAUUAUAGUUAUUAUACAAAGUGGAAAAGUUCAAGGGAUAAUAACACCAUCUCAAAAGUCGGGUGUGUAACUGAAAAUCUAAAUCAACUUUAGGGGUAUACUUAGGGCUGUUCAAAACUGAACCAUAACCGAUAAGUCAAUCGCAAAAUUGACUUAUUGGUAUUGGAUUAUCGGAUUAACGGUUGGUCAACGGAUUAAAAUUUUAUAGUUAAUGGUGCGGGGCGGAUUACUCAAUGGUGCGGGCCGGAUCACUCAAUUUCCUUCUAGGGUAAACCAUUAACCUUUUAAAAAUUAUCGUAGUUAGGAUAUUUAUUAAGUAAAUACUAAUGCGCUUGCACCCUCAAAAUUUAGUUCACAUGUGUUGUCACGCCCUGAGCCUACACCCUGGACGUGGCGGGCACUCGAAGACCAUUGCUGGUCCCAAGCGAACUGUUGGCCUAGUUUACUUGACUCAGCGGAAGACUUAAACUAAACAAAGAUAAGUUCAUAUAAUAAAUUGGAAUGUUAUAAAGGAACAUUCAACUGGACAUUAAGGCAAACUCAAGUCUGAACAUGGAGUAAUGACAAUGAAAAAACUAAAAACUAACAUCUGACUGUCUAUGAAGCCUCUAAUAACAACUGAGAUGGAUGUUGGGAUAGACCCCACAACAUCCUAAUAAACUAAACUGGAAAGCAAUGAAAUGGAUCCUCCGGAAAGCAAGGAGGCUCACCAACAGACUCUGGACUGCUCACUGGAUCAACGAUGCGUCAGGAUGCCGAUCCUAGUUACCUGUGUUUGCAUCAUAAUACGAUGCAGACCAACUGACAUCAGUACAUUGAGUGUACGAGUAUGCGAGUUGGAAUGCUAAAACAACAUAGACUAGAAAGAAUCUGAGAGAAACUGAAGAACUUACAUGACUCAACUCAACAUGACUGAACUCAUUUCAUUAUAAAUCAGUUUAAAAGCAAGUGCAAUAUAAAGAAAAGUUGUUUAAAAACAUGAUAUUAACUCUGUGUGUAUGCAAGAUACAAAUAACUCUGAGAUGUAUUUAAAAAUACAAUAAACUGAUGUAUAUAAAAAUACAAUAACUUCUGUGGGAGUUUCUCUAACCGACAACCACCACUUAUGAAACUAAGUGGUGAUACAACGUUUUACCUCACGUUACCCAAGGACCAUCNNNNNNNNNNNNNNNNNNNNNNNNNNNNNNNNNNNNNNNNNNNNNNNNNNNNNNNNNNNNNNNNNNNNNNNNNNNNNNNNNNNNNNNNNNNNNNNNNNNNNNNNNNNNNNNNNNNNNNNNNNNNNNNNNNNNNNNNNNNNNNNNNNNNNNNNNNNNNNNNNNNNNNNNNNNNNNNNNNNNNNNNNNNNNNNNNNNNNNNNNNNNNNNNNNNNNNNNNNNNNNNNNNNNNNNNNNNNNNNNNNNNNUUAUCCCGGGAUUAACUUACCUUAUCCCGGGAUUAACUUACCUUAUCCAUUACACCAAACGACCCCUAAGUCUUAAAACAAAGUUAAAAGCCUUUGCAAAAGACUUCUUGAAAAGACUCUAAGAAUUUCUUAGACUUGGCUCUUGACUUUCCUUGAAUUUAAAUUUAGGAAUUCAAGGUUAUGGUUUAUGUUUCUGGAUGAUUUCUAGACGUUUAGAAGUCAUUUAGAGUAGUUAGAAUCAAUGGAAAGUGUUAGUACACUUUAGAAGAACUUAAAUAGGCUAGACGACGGAAAACUGACGAAAAACGACGAUUUGGGCGCAUCCCGGGCGCGCUGCGCCAGCCCCAACUUACUGGGGCUCAAAUCUGGCGCACUGUUGGCGCGCUGCCCCAUCCCCUCGGGCGCAUCUGGGGCGCGUUGCGCCAGCCUCCCUUCAAGCAAAAUUCUAACGAACUUUUGCUCUCGUUUUCUGAUCCUAAAUCGUUUUAAUCUAAUUCUUUUUCUCAAUUUCACUUUAGAUUUAUGUACCCAAAUCAUAUACACAAGGAUCUAACUCAAGGAACUCAAGAACUAACAACUUAGUCAUCAAGAACUCCUAAAACUCAACUCAUGUUCAAGAACAAAAGUAAUUCAAGAACCACAUUCAAUAACAUUCAAAAUCCAAUCUUUUUGAAAUGAAAUCGCUGAAUCAAACAUGCUUGGCACGUGGGUAAACGAACCCAACAUUGAGAUAGACUCACAUACCUUAAUUGAUUGAAUCCUCGGCCAAAUUCGCAAGCAAUUCCUUACGACGACAACGAAUCUAGCUUUUUCCUCCUUUGUCUUUUCUUGCGUUCUUCCUCCAAAACCCUAGUUCUAUUUGGUAAAUGUCUAAACUGAUUUAAUUCAGCUUAGACCCCUAAUUAAUUACCAAAAAUGAAUUAAAAUAAAAGGGUAAGGAAAAGACCAAACUACCCUUUAAAAUCCGGAUUGGACAUUUCCUUAAUCCAACAACCCAACUUCCAAAGGGAAUAUCUCACUCAUAUGAACUCGUAAUCGUGCAAACUUGGCGGCGUUGGAAAGAUAAUUCCAAGAGCUUUACAAUUAUACCUGGAAGUACACCUAACUCAUCUUGAUCUAGGAGUUAUCUCCGUUUGAAGUUGGCCCAAAAAUCAACUUUUCUUAACUUAAACAAAUUUUCCAGAUUUUUGUUAUUUCCAAAAAAAAUGACUAUUUCAACUUCUUAGCUUCUUCCUAGUUAUUUCAAUUUGUGAGAUGUUACAUGUGUCUCACUGUGAUUUACAAUUACUGAAUUACCAGCUUAAGUAGGGCUAGAAAAAAAUGUUUUGUUUGAUGGGAGAUCAAUCUAAUUGUGAUUGAAAGUGAAAGAAGGGAGCACGGAAUGUUGGAGCCAAUACACCAACCGAUAACCAUCCAUUAAUUCCUAACCCGAUACCGAGUCAACCGAUAGCUUAUCCAUUGGCUAGCAGAUUAAUUUCUUUCUCGUGUUUGUAAUUUUAUCUUGUUUUAUUUUUUCUUUCACUUAGACUCCAUAUUUAUUUAUUAAGAAAUUAAUUAAAUAUAUAAUUAUGAAUUUGGUAAUUAGAAUGAGUUGUGAGAGUUAAACGAUAAAUUCAAAAUUUAUAGAAAUCAAAUUUUGGCUCCAUUUCUGAAAGGUGAGGUAAAGAUAGGGCUUGGAGUUUAUGAAAUCUAGAUUUUAGAAAAAGACCGCACCUUAAUAGGCUUUUGAUAGAUUAUUUGAAAAUUUUAAAUAUUAAUAUAUGAUUUGAGCUGAAGUUACUAAACACUUUUCGAACCCAAGCUAUACUUCUUUCUCAGGGUAUACCCUCCACAACUUCACUCUUAAUCAUAUAUUUUGACUUUGAAUCAUUCUAGUACUAGAAUAAGGAUAAUCAGCUAGGCAAUUAAGCAACACUUUCUGGCAUGGUGGUACAACUGCCAACAACUAGAAACAUUUUUCAUAUUUCUUAAAUUCAAUCAAUGUAGUAACUUGUAAACUUAAGUUUCAUAGUUAAGAUAUGGUAAAAAAAAUAAAAAUAAUAUCUCUUUUAUUGAGUAAGGUAUAAUCUACAGAAAUUUUUAUGGGCCUCAAAAAUGGGCUGCUCCUUUUAAACAUGGGAUGGGCUUCUCUUCUCUUAAUGGGCCUUAUGCUGCACGAGCCUGUAUUAGUUGGAGCUCCGAAACAGGAAUAGAACACCGGGUUAAGGAUUUGAAAAUUAUCUUUCCAAAUGACAUUCAAGCUAGGUGCUCUAAUAUAUUUUACUCGCUUUCCUUAACUUCCUUGAUUUAUCUUUAUCUAUACUGACAGUGUAAAACUUAUCACUUAUAAUAGUUAACACGUUAUUUUCCUGAUUUCAAAUUAUUAAUCUCAUGAAGUUUCACUUAUAGUUACUUUUAGAUGACUUGAUAGUGAAAAAAAAUAUUCUUUGAAACUUUGUUUCAAAUUGUCUAGCAUACAAUUAUCCCAGAACAAUGUAGGGGCGGAUCUAGUGAAGCAGCUACGAGUUCAUUCGAACCAAGUAGCUUUGCUUAAGACUCUUUAUAUAUGUUAAAAAAUGAAUUACAUAUUUUUCAACCUUUCAAAAUAAAUGGUACUUGUAUUGUUACCAUGUAGUACCUAAGUGUAAUGGUUACGCAUAAUUUGUAAAUUUUGUAAUGAAGGGUCUAUCGGAAACAACCUCUCUUCUCUACCUCCACAAGUUAUGAUAAGGUCUGCAUACACACUACCCUCCUCCUCAGACCGCACUUGUGGGAUUACAUUGAGUAUGUUGUUGUUUGUUCAUUUAGUUGUUGUGAAAAACUAUAAGAUAGUACCAUUUUUUGUUGUGUGUUACACAUGAUUCAGUCCUUAAGACAGCAAAGCUGGUCUUCUGUAGGAGAUAUUUGUCUCAAGUUCACAUUUGAUAUGUGUUACACAUGGUUCUAUAUAUGUGGAUAGGAAAAAUCUAUGUAGGAGAUAUUUGUCUUAAAUAACAUCACCAUUGAUGCUGGAAUACAAAUCACUUUCCCUAGCCUAGAAGUUUUGCAGUUUUCUUGUAAACUGAAGGAUUUUUCACACUUGUUGAGAAAUGUAAAGACAUUUGUGUACUUGGAUAUUUCUGCUCCCAAUUGCACACGCAAAUGUAUGUGGUCGCGGAAGAAAUAUAGUGACUCUUAACAGAAUCGGAUUAUAUAUCGAACCCAAAAGACUUGUCAAUUAACUAUUUUACUAAAUUAUACUGGUCUAAUUAUUUAUUUAAGAGUGCCAAAAGAAUUGACUUUUAUUUAAAUACUAAGAAUGCAAGAAUUAAAUAAUAAAAUUACUUACAAUGGUUGGAAAAUUUCAGGGCCGCAACAUGCAUAGGGUUCAUGUAUCACAUCUCAUGCAUGAAUUAACUACAGUUAUCAAAUUACUGAUUUACACGGUUGAUUUUAUGAUCGAUCAUGGUCUUCCGACCUCUAAUCGUCUACUCAAUUUAGUUGUUUAACUACAUCGUUGAGUGAGGAUAGACAGUCCUAAUUGACGAGCAUUUAUAUUUCCUCAUGUUUUGUGACCAAGCUAGGUGUUCGUCUGAGCGUCAUUCCUAAACACAAAUCAACUCAAUUUAAUGGAAGAUCAACCUUUUUGUAUCCAUUGGUCUAUCUACCUUAGUGUCUCCUGAUUUUAAGAGUAGACAAUAGAUUUAUCUCUAUGAUGGCCAGUCAAGAAAUACUAAAACAAGAAUACAAAAGUAAUUUAAGCGAUAAUCGAUGUUCAACACUUACACAUAGCUACAACCCUAGAACAAGGGCCUUUAACUACUAAUGUCUAAGAAAAUAUAUAGAAGCCUAAAAAGUAUUGACAACUUUAUAGUUAUACCUAUGAUUCAUCUCCCCCAAUAAUUAUUUCUAUGAACUAUUUAUAGAUAUAGAAAAUUCCAAAUAAAAUAACUGAGUCCAAAACAAAUCGGAAAAUCAAAACCAAACGGAAUUUGACUUCCACGUCAACAAUGGUCGUCCAACUGCCUCAAUUCUCUUUGCUGCCUUCAGAAUCAGCCACGUGGCAACUAAUGUAGGUAAACUUCAUUAAUUUCCUUUCUUUGUACGUUUGAAUGAAUAUUAAGUUGUCUGCUUGAUUUUCUUCUAUAAUCUUUCAUCUUUAAUUCGUUUUAGGUCCAAAUUUUUUCAUCUUCACACCAAUUUAAUCUUAUAAAUAAAAUACACUACUUAGCAUAAUUCAUAAAAUUCAUGCUAAAAAAGGACAAAUAUAUAUAAUAAAUGUAAGGUAAAUAAUGAUUAAAAUAUAUAUUUUUAGCCUCAUAUCAAUAAGAUUCGUGGUCAAAUCCCUAACUGGUUUAAUGGCAUGAGGUGGGGUUCGUAAACCUUUCACAUAAUUCAUUAACAGGCCACCUACCAAAAUUUCAUUACCAUAAUGUAGAGUAUCUUGAUCUUAAAUUUAACUCCCUUCGGGGUCCACUACCUUCAUCCAUAUGUAACCUAAUAUAUAUUCCUUUAACAAUCUGUACAUUGAAGCAACUCACACUUUUAGAUCUUUGGAGGAGAAAUUCCUGCAUUUGAAAGUUCGAUUUUUUUGUGUUUGCCGUAGCAGUGGACUUAUAGGCCUAUUCAUCCUUGUAAUGAAAAUUGAACAUGAAUGAAAAUAAAAACCAAAUGAAAGAAAAAAAAUAUGGAGUAUAUAUUAUUUUGUUAGGUCUUCUUCGUCCUCUAACAAACACUACAAAAUAUGAGUAAUAAGUUGUUAGAAGUGAGUAGUACUCAUCUAUGGACCACAAGUUGCGUACCAUUUAUGAUUGUAUAGAUUCCAUGGAAAAAUUGCAUAGAAAUUUAAUGCAUUUGUACAACUUGGUUUCCUCUAUUCCGAAUGUACAAUAAUUGUUCUCACAAUUGGUUCAAUGACGCGUUUUGACCUUUUAUGAUUAUAUAGAUUCCGUGGAAAAAUUGUACUAAAAUUUAUUGCAUUCAUACAACUUGGUUUCACUUGAUUAAAGGGACCAAUUUCACAUCAUCUUGCUUAACACAUACUGCAGAGAUAGUCGAUCUAUGACCUCGAAAUGAACAACAACAUCUAGAGAAAAUGAGGACAUAGUGAGUAUUAUAUUGUUAAGUCUUCUUCGUGCUCUAAAAAAUCUCGUGAAACACUACAAAAUAUGUGUAACAUGUUGUUAUAAGUGACUAGUACUUAUUCAUGAAGUACAGGUGACUUUGAGUCUUCCUGGAAAUUGACUUUAACACUUAGGAUGUGUUUCUUUUCUUUCGUUAAUUUGUACCUCAUAGUCCCAUGCAUAGACAAGUCAGCAAUGCUACUUUAUGAAAUAUCGUUUAGUUAAUUAAUUGUUCACAUUAUUUAAUGUGGAGGUCGUUAUAACAAUUAAGAGAUGAAAUGGUGUUUAGUUAAUUAUAUCAUCAUUUCUUACGUGACUACUUAUUUUAUUAACUUAUUUAUAUCUGGGCAAUUAUCAUGAACCCGCAUUAUUAUUUUUACGUUUAUCUUUUUUAUUCUUUCAUUAUUAAAUACUCUAAAGUCUAUCAAACGGUAAAACCUUUUGAAUUAUACAAACAAUAUUGUUGGGUGUUAAUAAAAAGAUCAAUCUGUUUUUUGGUGUAUUCUUUAAAUUACAAGCACUAUAACAAAAACAACUUUUAGCUCAAAAGUCACUUAACUAUGAAUUCUUUUCUCAAAAAGUCACUCAACAUUGAAUUUUAACACAAAUAUCACUCAAUUAUGAGUGGUUUACUUACAAAGUCACUCAAUUAUGAUUGUUUUACUUACAAAGUCUGUUAACAUAUUUAAUUGUUUUUUUAAUUAAAAUUUGUUGGUAUAAUUUUCUUAUUUAAAAUUAAUAUUUUAAAAAAAAGUAAUAUCCAUUAAAUAAUUUAAUGAUCUGCCCCGCUAAAAAUAUAAUAUUGAUUUUUUUUUUAAUUGGAAUUCAAGAAUAAUACGGGAAUAAAUUAUUCCAUGCAUCAGAAUUCUAAGCAUUAUGAGGAAUAAAUUAAUUUCCUCUUCAUCCCCUCCCCCUUUCUCAGUUGCUGCCUCUUCUUCCUCUUUUAGUUUUUUUAAUUGGAAUUCAAAAAUAAUACUGGAAUAAUUUCAUGCAUCAGAAUUCCUAAAGCAGAGGAGAAAGAAUCCGACAAUAAUUUAGGAGAAUUAGCGGUAAAAUAAAAUGGGUCAAUAUUAUAUUUUUAGGAGGUCAUUCAUUAAAUGAUUUAAAUGAAUAUUUUUUUAUUUUUUAAAAUAUUGCUUUUAAUAAAAUUUUAUACCAGCAAAUUUAAUUAAAAAAUUAACUAAAUAGGUCAAAUGACUUUGUAAGUAAAAUACUUAUAGUUGAGUGACUUUGUAAGUAAAACACUCAUCAUUGAGUGACCUUUUAGUUAAAAUUCAAGUUGAGUGACUUUCUGAGAAAAGAAGUCAUAGUUGAGUGACUUUCUGAGAAAAAAAAUUCAUAGUUGAGUGACUUUCUGAGAGAGUAGUGCAUAACUGAGUGACAAUAUUAUAUUACGUGGUUUUGAGUAAGUUUUAUUAUUCUAACUUUAUAUUAUAUAUUUUUUCAUUGAAAAUUUUCGUUGUUUGUAUUCUUACUUCAUAAUGGUCUAUGACUUUGUGUACAUCCUACCUUCUUGAAACUUUACUUGUAGGAUUACAUUAAUCAGUAUGUUAUAAGUAUUCAAUUUAUGUUCGAGUAAUCAACACCAAAUAUUUGGGCAUAUCCCUUGACAACAAGCCUAGCCUUGUAUUUAUUGAUAGAACCAUCAGAAUUGAGCUUGGUUCUAAACACCCAUUUUACUCCAAUGACCUUCAUAUCUUUCAGUCGGUCGACUAACUCCCAAGUUUUGUUUUUCUUGAUCAUUAGCAUCUCCUGCUCCAUUGGCGUUUUCUCCAUUUUUUAUCUUGAAGUGCUUCAUCGUGCCCUGCAGGCUCACAAACUGCCACAUUACUUUGUUGGUAGAUGUCAGAGAGUAGUCUUGUACCUCUAAUUGGAAGAUCAUCCACCAACUCAUUUUUCCAGUGAUCCGAUGCCUGCUCCUCUGAAGCUUUGACUGAAAGUUGAUUGUCCUUCCAGUCCCAUUUCUCUUCAUCAACAAAGUGCACAUCUCUACUGACAAUCAUCUUCCCUGUUUGUGGAUUAUAUACUUUGUAGGCCUUGGAGGAUGAGCUACAACCCACAAAUAUUCCAGGAAGUGCCUUCUUGUCAAGUUUGUCUCUUUUAACCUGUGGCACAUGGAAGAAACAAACACAACCAAAUACUUUAGUGAAGCUUAGUGAUGGUUUGUAUCCAUUCCAAGCCUCAAAUGGAGUUUUAUUCAACAAUGCUUUAGUAGGAAGCUGAUUUUGGAGAAAUAUUGCCGUAUUAGCUGCCUCAGUCCAAAAACUUUUCGGCAACUCUUUUUCAUGCAACAUGCACCGCGACAUCUCCAUUAUAUAUCUGUUUCUCUUUUCACUAACUCCAUUUUGUUGCGGAGUAUAUGGAGCAGUAAGCUGAUGAGUAAUACCCGCUUUCUCACAAAAUUUGUUAAAUUGUUCAAAAUUAUACUCUUUUCCAUUGUCAGACCACAGAGAUUGGAUUCUGCAACCACUUUGAUUUUCCACCAUCUUCUUGAACUUCAAGAAAAUUCCAGCCACUUCUGAUUUAUAUUUCAUAAAAAAAAUCCAGCAGAAUCUUGUAUAGUCGUCAAUGAAUAUAACGUAGUAUAGACUACCAUUAAGGGAUGGUGUUCUUUGAGGUCCUGCAACAUCUGUGUGAAUCAGUUGCAACCUUUGAGAAGUCCGCCAUGUUGCUUUAGGAAAUGACUUCUUAUUCUGCUUACCAAAUUGACAAGCUUGACAACUUGGUAAGUGAUCAACUAGAGUUGGUAGUCCUCUUGUCAUAUCUUCCUUCUCCAGCAACAAUAGUGCUUGUAGAUGGCAAUGGCCAAGUCUCUUGUGCCAGGUUUCCGUUACACUUGCCUUCAUGGAAUAAGCUAGUCACUCUUUCUCUGUUGGAUCAAAGGAAAAAAUCCUUCCUCUCAUCUUCACCCUGAAAAUUUCAUUUCCAGUAGUGUCACUGAUUUGACAGUGAUGAUCUUCGAAGAAAACCUUGAAUUCUUUUUCCAUCAGAUGUCCUACGCUUAGCAAAUUCUGAUCAAUUUCAAGAACAUACAGAACCUCUGAAAUUUUCUUUGUGCCAGUGCUCGUCUUGAUAGCUAUGGUUCCAAUUCCUUUGACAGGAAGGUGAUCUCCAGUUCCUAUCCAAACCUUCGAAAUUUCAGUGGGCUUCAACUCCUUGAAUAAACUCUCGUCAUGAGUCAUGUGGUUAGUGCAACCUGUAGUAUCCGGAAAUUUGAAAAUAGCUAUGACGAGGCUGAGAAUUGGAAAUAGUCACUUUUUGGAAAGAAUUCAAAUCUGGAAAUUUGGUUAAGUGUGGGAAAAAAAUGAGUUUUUGGCCAACUUUGAACAGUCAUAACUCCUAGAUCAGGAUAAGUUAGGUGUAGUUCCAGUUAUUUUUGCGAAGCCCUUGGAAUGAUCUUUCCAACACUGCCGAGUUUGCUCGAUUCCGAGUUUGUAUGAGUGAGUUAUGCCCUUUGGAAGUUGGGUUGUUGGUAUAGGAAAGUUCACCCGAAAUUGUAAGGGUAUUUUGGUCUUUUCCCUAACCAAUUCUUUUGGUUAUAUUAGUGUGUUAGACUGAUUUUGGAUUAGUUUUUCCCAUUUUAAAGAGUAAGAGAGAGGGUUUGUGAGUGAAGAGGAGAAGAAGAGGAGAAAGAGGGGAUCAAGCAAGGAUUCAUCAAAGAUCGUCGUGGAUAUCGUCGGGGGUGAUCCCUACUAGGUAUGUGAGUUCAUAGUGUUGGGUUGGUUCUUUCCCCCACACGCCAAUCUCGUUUUAAUUUCGAGAAAAGAUUGAUUGUGUUUGUUGAAGUUGUUGGUUGUGAUUGUGUUGAAGUUCUUGUUGAUUUGGGCAUGUUUUCGGUUGUGUUUCUGGGUUAAAUAUAUUGUAUGUUGAGGGGUUUUAUGAUAUUAAGUGUUUGGGGCUGGAAACUUUGAAGUUGGGAAGGUUUAGAAUUGGAAAAACAAGGAAGAAAAGUCGAAUUUUCGAGGGAAAAGGGGUGGGCCAUCGCGCCUGCCAGCGCGCCCCAAAAGGGGUUCUGAACUUUCCCCCUUGGGGCGGCGCACCUAGCAGCGCGCCAGCAGGCCCCUCUGAAGUUUUAGGGCUGGCGCCCCGCGCCUCUCAGAGCAACAAGGACGCCAACCUUUCCCAUUCAUUCCCCACAUUUUCAUGCAUGUUCCUUAGUAUUGUACUUAUGUUUCAUAGUUGUUUCCAACACUCCAAGGUACGUCUAAACGUCAAGAACUCAUCGAUAAACAUGUGAUCAUAUACCUUGAAUCCAUAAUCCAAUUCAAGGCGAGUUAGGAUCAAGUCAAAGUGAAGUUAAGGGUCAAGUCUAGAAGUUAAGAAGCAAGUCAAAGCAAGUUUUCAAAGGUGUUCAAGAGUCUUUAUUGAACGUUCUAACUUCAUUUUAAGGCUCAAGUUUCAAGUCAAGUAAAGAGUAUAGAGCUUCAAGCUAAGUAAAGAGUCUCAGGUUUCAAGUUAAGUCAAGAGUAUAAAGUUGAGUUCAUUUCUCAAAAACUAUUAGGGACCUAAGUAUUCCCAAAGACGUUUAUAAAUGUUUUUACAUUUGAGUAAGAAGGGAACCAUGUUCUCCAAAAAGAGCCUUUGGGCUAAGUUUGAGUAAUUAUCUCAACUAAAGAAAGAUUUGUUUAAAACACUUAUGAGCUAAAAUAUAUUUUUGGGAGUAGUCUUGAGCACCGAGUUGGGGACAUGAGUUCAUAUUAACUCAACUCUCCAUAAGAACCAUGUGGCCAACAUGGGAUUUAACGGGUCAUACUUUUUAGAUAAUCACGUAAGUUAAGCUAGUGGAUCCACUUAGUAAAGUUAGCUUCCUAUAUCACGGCAAGGUAUAGGAUGGGCCUCGGCAGUGCGAGGUAAAGCGCUGUAUCAUCACUAUAGUUCUUAAAUGAUGGUUGUCGGAUAGAGAAACUCCCACAGCAGUAGAAAGUGCUUGGUUCCUCGAGGAGUUCUGCUUAGUAUGAAUGGGGGUAUGGGACUUCAUUCAUACAUUGCACAAGUAGACCUUGAGAGGAAGCAUGGUAUUUUCAUGAUAUUAAAAAUAUGAUUUUUACGUCAUGUUUUAAGAGUUUUACAAGCUUUAUAUAUUGCAUGUGUCUUAUUGCUUUAUAUAUUGAGUUCAGUUAUUCAUGAGUCCUCCUUGCUUUCCAUAGGACUCGGUUAUUUUGUGUUCUUAGUUUUGUUUUAUUAGGGUGUUGCGGGGUCUGUCCCAACAUCCAUCUCAGUAUUUUUAGAGGCUUCACAGACAGUCAGUCAGUAAGUUUUGAGUCUCUCAUCUAUGUAUAUAUAUAAUAUUCUAUUUUGAGACGCGAGUUGCUUUUUUGGCUAGCUUUUGUCAGUUAGGUUGUUUUAUGACCUUUCAUUGCAUUGAGUUAUGCUGUUGAGUUAAGUUUCUGUUGAGUUAAGAAAAGCCAGGCCAAGGGUUCGCUUGGGGGCCAACAAUGGUGUUCGAGUGCCGGCCACGUCCAGGGUGUAGGUUCGGGGCGUGACACAACCACUGUCAACUAACCAAGAAUCUGUUGAGCUCUUACUUGAAAAGCAUGUUGCAAUAAAAGGAUGAUCUUCUUCUUCUUGAUCAACAACUUGAGCAUUUCCUUCCUCCUGCGGGGCCUAAUUCUUGCAAAUCACUGCUUCGUGUCCAAGCUUAUUGCAUUUCUUACAUUUAGCAUCAAGUCUCUUCCAACACUUGAAUGGUGCAUGGCCUUUUCUUCCACAAUGGUGACAAGGGGGAUAACUUUUUUUCGCACUUCCUCCCUUAGUUUUGUUGUUGGCUGAUGUUUCUCCUUCACACACUGCUUGAUUCUUUUUCUUCUUCUGAAUUUUGUUAACCUGAUGCUUACUGACAAGUGCCCCUUCUGUUGUAACCUCCUGUCUCAUGAGUCUUCUUUGCUCUUGAGCUUUCAGGGAAUUGAGCAACUCUGUCAAACUAAUCUUUGACAAAUCCUUAGUAUUUUAUAAGGUUGUAAUUGUUGCUUCAUACCUUUCAGGAACUGUUACAAGGAUCUUCUCAACAAUUCUCGAGUCUGAAAAUGUAGAGCCGAGUAGCCUCACCUUUUUUGCAAUAUUUAGAAGUCUAUCCGAAUAUUCCUUCACUGUUUCAGAUUCCUUCAUUUUUUGCAAUUCAAACUCCCUAAUUAAGUUUAAAACUUGCAUACCUUUUAUUCUCUCAUCUCCAGAAUACUCUUCCUUAAGAUAAUCCCAUACUUCUUUAGCAGUUUUCAGAGACAUUAUUCGCGUGAAAACUAUUGACGAUACAACAGCAAAUAAACAUGCCUUGGCCUUCGAUUUCUUUGUCUUCUGUUCCUUGUGUGCUUUAAUCUGAGCAAUGGUAGGAUUAUUUGGUAGGGCUGGAAUAUCGUAAUCCUCUUCCACAGCUUCCCAGAGAUCCAAAGCAUCCAAGUACGUCUCCAUUCAUACUGCCCAAAUCUGAUAAUUAUCUCCAUCAAAGACCGGCGGAGCAAUUGGUGAGAAACUUGCUUCAGCAUCCAUGGCUACUCCAACUCGAUCACAAAUCCCUUAAGAUGAAAGCUCUGAUACCAACUGUUUUUAGUAAGACUAAUGACAGAUAACACAAUGAAGACAAUGUCUAGUUUGCUACAGAAAGGAAAGCAGGAGAAUACAAGGAAUUUAAAUGUGAAGAUAACUAAGAGAAAAGCUUAUGCAGAAAGUUGUAUUUCAGUAAAAUCAACCAAAAAUACAUAAACAUACAAUUAAGUAACUGAUAUAGAUCAUGGUCCUACUUUUAAGUCAUGGUACUAACCAUGGUAACUACCCCUAAAAUAACUGAAAAAAGAAAUACAGGAAACUUAGAAAUAGAUCCUGCAGUCCUAAAGCAACUAACUAAUAGUCGUAAAUGGUAAUCGAUUUGAAGGACCUGUCCCUGUGUCGUUGCUCAAAUGUCAUAAUUUAGAAGUUCUUGAUGUGGGGAACAAUGCUAUAAAUGACACGUUUCCAUCUUGGCUUGAAAUUCUUCAAGAGCUGCAGGUCCUUAUAUUAAAGUCGAACAAGUUCCAUGGACCUAUAAGUACGUGUCAAACUAAGUUUUGCUUUCCCAAGUUGCGAAUUUUUUAUUUUUCUCGUAAUGAUUUCAGUGGCUCACUUCCUGCAAAAGUUUUUGGAAACUUCAAGGCAAUGAUCAAAUUAGAUGACGAAGACACAAGAGAGAUCAGGUACAUGGAAUCUAUGUCGAAUUUGUCAUCUAUCGCAUCGUAUGAGGAAUCAGUGAGUUUGGUAAUCAAAGGGCACGUUAUUGAGCUACAAAGAAUCAGCACAAUUAUGACAACCAUAGAUCUCUCAAGCAACCAUUUUGAAGGUGUCAUUCCGGAAACACUAAAAGAUCUCAGCUCACUUUGGCUACUCAAUUUAUCCCAUAACAAUCUCAUAGGUCAUAUUCCAAUGGAAUUGGGGCAAUUGAAUACACUUGAAGCUUUAGAUCUCUCCUGGAAUUGGCUCACUGGAAAGAUUCCGCAGGAAUUAACAAGAAUGAACUUUCUGGCCUUCUUAAACAUCUCUCAAAAUCAUCUCGUCGGACCAAUUCCUCACAGUCUACAGUUCAACACAUUUGAAAAUGACUCGUAUGGCGGCAACCUUGAUUUAUGUGGUCCUCCUUUAUCAAAACAAUGUGGAACGAGAGAUUCAUCACAUGUUCCUCAAGCAUUGGAGUCCUAUUUUUUUAGUGGAUUUACAUGGGAAUCAGUAGUCAUAGGCUACAGUUUUGGACUAGUUGUUGGAACUGUCAUGUGGAGUCUCAUGUUUAAAUAUCGUAAGCCAAAAUGGUUAGUGGAAUUUUUUGAUGGACUCAUGCCUCAGAAAAGAAGAAGGCCAAAGAAGAGAGCUCAGAGACGACGGACUUAAUGGAAGAUUGAGAGGGGCCAACUUGUCUUUGUUUGAUUUUGUGGACUAAUUAGUGAACUUCUCUGGUUCUGUUUUUGUCUUUUUAAUAUUCUGUUUGUUGUUUGUAUAUGUUUGAUAGAAACAUAAUUAUAUAUGAGUUAUUUUAGUAUCAAUGGUUAUUCAAGUUAUGUUUCUGUUUCAAGUUGACAUAAGUGAUCCACACACCAAACUUAUUAAUUAGCUAUGAUACCCGGACUUUUCAAAAAUGCCAACAGAUACUUGUUGGAUUCUUCAAAGUAUUGCAUUUCUCAAGGAACCAACACAGGUGCGACAUCAUUAUAUUUUAGGAGAGUCGGAGCAACAUAGUUCAUUAGUACAACAAAAAGGAAAAAGCAAAGCAGUAAGCACAUAGAGUUUGGUUCAUGAUUGAAAUCACUUGAUAUUAGAAAGUUCAUAUAUUCAGCAUAACUGCAUGUCCAUUUUACAUUACAGUUCUUCUUAUACAAACUAGAAAAGAAAAUCUUGUGUUUACAGAAACUGAAAAUUGAUUUUCUAUAAUGUAAUACAUUUGCAUUGACCACACUACCCUUUUGUCACAGUGUUUUAUAGGUUACGAAGUUUAAGAAAAAAAAGUAAGAUUUUUUAAAUUUGUGAUUUUGAAUAUGACGUGCGAUUUUUGUGGCUAUAUAUAAAAGUAUGAAGUGUUGAUCUUUUUUGAAAUAGAUUAAUAGGAAAUAGUGUUACGUAAAAUGAAAGACAGAAUGUACUAUAUAGUGUGAUAUUGAACCAGAUCUUGAGAUAUAUAGAGUGCAAACUAGCUAGCUGUAAAGUAUCAACUUUGUCCCCAUUAAGUUUUUUCUACUACAAAAAAACUAGAAAAGUGAAAAGUGUUGUGGAAAAUUAUAGAAUGUACCUAACAUGUUUGAAAACAACUAAUCAGGAAUUUCUGAUACAAUUUCUCUGCAAUCUUUAACAUUAAAUAUUGACCAAGUCAAGUCUCUCUGGUGGUGGAAUUAGAAUGUUGAAUUAGCUUUACUUUUAUUUCUUUCUUGUUUAACAUCUUAUAUUUAUAAAUAAAAUAAGGCAACAUGUCCUAUCAUUAUUAUACUAAAUUUAUUUUUCUUCUUGUUUAAGAGCUUAUAUUUCUGUAAAGAAUGUGUAUGCUAUAUUUUUACAUUUUUCACUUCUGAAUAAGUAGUAGUAUAUGAAUCUUGCAUAAUAUAACCUGCUUUUCCAAGAGGCCUUUGUGUAUUAAAUUUUUUGUAUCUAUUAUCUAGAUUAAGCUUCAUCUAGAUAAUGCAAAAACCGACUCUGGUUAGUCUUCGCGGAAAUUUGCCUAAAGACUUAGAAGUCAUCGUCUGAUAGUUGCAGUAAAGUACCCCUUUUUUCUUUGUUGCUUAAUUAAAUACGAGACGGUCCUAUGAAGAAUAAUGGAGUUUCCCUCAUUAACUUAAUGUGAAAACUCAUGUGUAACUAACAAGUUUGAAAACAGCACAAGAGACAACUAAUCAAACACCAACUUGGAAAUUUCUCAUAAUAGCUUUUAGGAACGCUUUGUAUAAUCCAAUGUUUUUUUGAGCUAUUGACUUAGUACAACACAACAGGAAAAGGCUGCAUCCACCUGUGGGGCUCAUGUUGUUCAUGGGUUAUUUAUCAGUCUAGACCUUAGUGGUAGUUAUCUUUAUGGAACUGUAGAGAAUAGCAGAAGAAAAGUAUAAUCUGCUAGCCCAAGAUCAUUAACUAUAAAAGAUCGGAAUAUUCAACUAAAGAAGAGGAAGCUAGAAAGAACUUGUUUAUGGAAUAAGACUCUUUUAUUUGGGUUGUUCUUGAGUUGUAUACAAAUGACUGAGGCCACCCCUAUUUAUACUUAUGUGGGGAUGGUUCUAGACAUUACAAGAUCUAGACUAUUUUCUACAGUGAGUGUUACAUACGGGACCAAUUUCACAUCAUCUUGCGUAACAAACAAUGCAGAAAUAGUUAAUGACCUCGAAAUGAACAACAACAUCUUGAGAAAAUGAGGACAUAAGGGGUAUUAUUUUGUUAAGUCUUCUCCGUCCUCUAAAAAGUCUUGUGGAACACUACAAAAUAUGAAGUAACAAGUUGUUAGAAGUGAGUAGUACUCAUCCAUGGACCACAAGUUGUGUAGUUAGUGAUGCCAAGGUUGUAUUAUUUUUUCUCCCUUUAUGCCAAAGUUGGACAAAAUGAAUAUUGUAUAUAUAAUUGGUACUAUCAAACAAAAUUUGAAGACUUGAGUCUUUCUGGAAAAUGACUUAAAACACUUUGGACAACUUUUUUGCAAUCACAAAUUAGUUAGUGGUAGAUGUGGGGGCAAAUACCCCAUUUUAUUUGUCUGGAUAUGUUUCAUUCUCUUUUUCUAUUCACACUUUUACAGUAAAGAUGAAAGAGAAAAUAAUUUAUGUGUGAACAAAUUAAAUAUACCACAACAUGAUUUUCUUAAAAAUAAAAAAAAUAAAAAAAGUAAUUUUUGUACAAGUAGGGAUAUAUGUGAAGCCACUUUUGUAACAACGGGUAUAUUAACUCUAAAAUGACAAAGUUGAGGGAUAUAUCAUGCCCUUUUCCUUAAUGUGCCUUGCAAUGAUAACAAUAUAAGUUGAAUAGGAUACAGUUCACUACAAUUAUACCACAAAAACAACUUUUUUGAUGUAGUGUCGAUCACUACACCUUUAUCUUGAGUCGAGGGUCUACGAAAACAGCCUCUCUACUACUUUGGUUAUUCUCCAUCUCUUUCAUGUUUGAACUGUAUCAUAUAGAUGGAGUUUCCCUCAUUAACUAAAUGUGAAAAGUCUUGGAAAACAACACAAGAGACAACUAAUCGGAAAUUUCUCAUAAAAUUUCUAAUUAUGCAGGAAAUUAAGACACAUAUCAAACAAAAUUUUGAAUAAAAAGCAAAUAAAAAAAUUAAAAAAAAAUUCCACACGGUAUUAUUGUUCAUUUUUUUCCUCACUUGACUUAGUCAAGAAAUAGUUUCUCUCAUUGGAAAUUUCUUAGAAGUUCAGCAAAAAACAAUUCCACAUAAUGGGACCAAAUUCACAUCAUCUUGCCUAACACACACUGCAGCGAUAGUUAAUGACCUCAAAAUGAACUCAACAUCUAGAGAAAAUUAGGACAUAAAGAGUAUUAUUUCGUUAAGUCUUCUCCGUACUCUAAAAAGUAUUGUGGAACACUACAAUAUAUGAGUAACAAGUUGAUUUUUAAUACCAUUGUUUAAUCUCCUUAAUGUUUUGAGUAAGAUUUGAUUUUUUUUUUUACGCGAUGCGUGACGCCUAGGCAGACGUGCCCUGAGUAAGAUUUGGUUAUUCUAACUUUAUAUUAUAUUUUUUCAUUGAAUUUUUUUGUUGUUUGUACUCUUCCUUCAUAAAGGUCUGUGUAUAUCCUACCUUCUUGAAACUUUACUCGUAAGAUUACAUUAAUCAUUAUGUUAUAGGUAUUCAAUAUACAUAGGACACUUAGAACUAGUAUAUAUAUGUAUGGAUGAUACUGACUGAUUUGUAAGAAGAACACAUCCAUCCUGAACACAAACAAACAAAAAAUGGUCAUGAGUCUGUUUUUCUUUUAUUCAUUUCUAUGUUUUGUGUUUUUAUUAAGUGAAUGCUUUUCUUCAUCCUUUGAUCAUCAUCUUUGCUCUCCCACUGAAGUUUCUGCUUUGCUUCAGUUUAAGCAAUCCUUUAAAAUAUCUGAUUACUCUACUCUUCAGUGUGAUACUUCUUUCCCAAAAACAAAGUCUUGGAAUGAGAGUAGGGAUUGCUGCAGUUGGGAUGGAGUCACUUGUGACUUAUUAAACGGUCAUGUUAUCGGGUUAGACCUUAGCUGUAGUCAGCUUCGUGGAAGUAUUCAUCCCAAUAGCAGCCUCUUCCAACUUCAUCAUCUCCAAACACUAAACCUUGCUUACAAUAACUUUUCAACUUCUUCAAUCUCACAUAACAUUGGCCGAUUGAGGAAUUUGAGGCAUCUCAACCUUUCUAAUUCUUUCUUUAGUGGGAAAAUCCCAACAGAAAUCUCAUUCCUUUCCAAUUUGGUUUCACUUGAUCUUUCUUAUAGUUAUGGAUUACAACUUGAUGAGAGAACAUUUGAAACAAUGCUUCACAACUUUACAAAUCUGGAGGUACUAGCUCUCUUUCUUGGCAACAUCUCGUCACCGAUACCUGUAAGUAUUCAUCCCAAUAGCAGCCUCUUCCAGCUUCAUCAUCUCCACACACUAAACCUUGUUAACAAUUUCUUUUAUCCUUCUUCAAUCCCAAAUGGCAUUGGCCGAUUGAGGAAUUUGAGGCAUCUAAAACUCUAUGAAUUUCAAGGGAAAAUCCCAACAGAAAUCUCACACCUUUCCAAUUUGGUUUCACUUGAUCUUUCUUAUAGUUAUGAAAAAUUACAACUUGAUGAGAGAACAUUUGAAGCAAUGUUUCAGAACUUGACAAAUCUGGAGCUACUUUCUCUCUAUGGUGUCAACAUCUCAUCUCCGAUACCUGUUAAUAUUUCUUCAUCCUUAAGGUACCUGGAUCUUGGAUAUACUAAUCUGCGAGGUGUUCUCACAGAGAGCUUUUUCCUUGUGCCAAACUUGGAAAUACUCAAAUUGAGUGGGAAUGAUCUUGUCAAAGGAGUUUUUCCAAAGAUCCACUGGAGCAACACUCUGUUAAUGGAGUUGGAUAUUUCAUCCACAGGCAUCUCUGGUGAGGUGCCUGAUUCAAUUGGCACCUUCAGUUCCUUGAAUAUCUUGAACCUUGCAGGAUGCCAAUUCUCUGGUUCCAUUCCUGAUUCCAUUAGCAACCAAACACAAAUUAGGGAGUUGAUUUUAUAUCAUAAUCAUUUCACUGGCCAUAUUCCUUCCACAAUCUCUAAAUUGAAGCACCUCACACGUUUGGAUCUUUCAAUUAACUCCUUUUCAGGUGAAAUUCCUGAUGUUUUCUCAAACCUCCAAGAGCUACGUACUUUACAUCUUUCUUAUAACAGCUUCAUCGGUUCGUUUCCCGCUUCAAUUUUAAGUUUGACACAUCUUGAAUACUUAGGAUUGUCGAGUAAUUCCCUAUCUGGCCCACUGCCUAGCAACCAAAGCAUGCUUCAAAAGCUAACCGAACUGAAUUUGUCAUACAACUCACUGAAUGGUACCAUACCAUCUUGGGUGUUUAGCCUACCUUUGCUAUCUUCAGUGUCGCUCCAACAUAACCGAUUCAGAGGACUAGCCGAUGAAGUGAUCAAAACAAACCCAACAUUAAAACAACUGCAAUUAAGCAAUAAUCAACUCAGUGGUUCUUUUCCUCAAUCACUUGUGAAUCUCACAAACCUUGAAACCCUUGGAAUUUCAUCAAAUAACAUCACCAUUGAUGGGGGAAUGAAUAUCACCUUUCAUAGACUAUCAUCUUUAUUCUUAUCAUCUUGUGAACUGAAGGAUUUUCCACACUUCUUGAGAAAUGUAAAGACACUUGUGUACUUGGAUAUUUCUAACAAUAAGAUUUGUGGUCAAAUCCCUAACUGGUUUAGUGGCAUGAGGUGGGACUCGUUGCAGUUCCUAAACCUUUCUCAAAAUUCAUUAACAGGCCACCUACCACAAUUUCGUUACGAUAACCUACAGUAUCUUGAUCUGAAAUUUAACUACCUUCAGGGUCCACUAGCUUUAUCCAUUUGUAACAUGAGGAAACUUAUCUUAUUAGAUUUAUCACACAACUACUUCAGUGACUCAGUUCCACAUUGCUUGGGAAGCAUGCCUAAUCUAACGGUGCUGGACUUAAGAAGGAACAAUUUCACAGGGAGUCUUCCCCCAUUAUGUGCACACAGCACUUCGUUGAGUACCAUUGUCAUAAAUGGUAAUCCUUCCUGCAAAAGUUUUUGGAAACUUCAAGGCAAUGAUCAAAUUAGAUGACGAAGACACAAGAGAGAUCAAGUACAUGAAAUCUACGUUGAAUGCGUUAGUUGUCAGAUCGUAUGAGGAUUCGGUGAGUUUGGUGAUCAAAGGGCAGGAUAUUGAGCUAGAAAGAAUCAGCACAAUUAUGACAACCAUAGAUCUCUCCUGGAAUCGGCUCAUUGGAAAGAUUCCGCAGGAAUUGACAAGAAUGAACUUUCUGGCUUUCUUAAACCUCUCUCAAAACCAUCUUGUCGGACCAAUUCCUCACGGUCUACAAUUCAACACAUUUGAAAAUGACUCGUAUGGUGGCAACCUUGAUCUAUGUGGUCUUCCUUUGACAAAGAAAUGUGGAACGAGUGAUUCAUCGCAUGUUCCUCAACAAUUGGAGUCCGAAGAAGAAGAAGGCGAGUCAUAUUUUUUAGUGGAUUUACAUGGGAAUCAGUAGUCAUAGGCUACAGUUUUGGACUAGUUGUUGGAACUGUCAUGUGGAGUCUCAUGUUUAAAUAUCGUAAGCCAAAAUGGUUUGUGGAAUUUUUUGAUGGACUCAUGCCUCAGAAAAGAAGAAGGCCAAAGAAGAGAGCUCAGAGACGAAGGAUUUAAUGGAGGAUUGAUAGGGCUAAUUUGUCUUUGUUUGAUUUUGUGGACUAAUUAGUGAACUGUUCUGCUUUUCCCUCAUUAACUAAAUGCGAAAAGUCUUGAAAAAACAGCACAAGUAUAGAAGAAGCAUGAAAUAGAAAGAGUAGCAUUGCUUAAUCAUCUAGUACUGCUGUAGCUUAUGGUAAUCACUAGUAAUUGAUGAAUCACACUUCAAGCAUAUCAUGAAUUUGGCUUAAAGACUUAGAAGUCAUCGUCUGCUAGUUAAUACGAGAUGGUCCUAUAUAUGAAGAAUAAUGGAGUUUCCCUCAUUAACUUAAUGUGAAAAGUCUUGUGUAUCUAACAAGUUAGAAUGUUCAAAUACUUUUAACUAUAUAGUUUUAUUAUUAUUUUGUAUUCUUCUGCUUUGCGUAUCAUCGAGUUUCUCUUACAUACUCUGAUCCCUGAUUUUGUAAGAAUAGAACAUCCCGUUAUUUGGUGAAUACAAAAAAAGAGUCUCUUUUUCUUUUAUUCAUUUCUCUGUUUUGUGUUGCUAAUAAGUCUAUGCUUUUCUUCUUCCCUUUGAGCAUCAUUUUUGCUCUCCCAAGUAGACACUUUAAAACAAAUAUAAAACAUUACAUUUUAAAAUAAAAUGACAAAAGUGAAUAAAUUAAUCAGUGGAUUUACGUGGGAAUCAGUGGUCAUAGGCUACAUUUCACUACAAGUCUACGAUAAAAAAUAACUUUAGCAGGCAAUAAAUAUACACAUUAACAAAGAGUGACUAAAACCUUUACUGGUAUUAAUUAAUUGUCAUUAGAUUCAAUGUCUCUAUAGGCUUUAGGGACACUUAUAAAAAGUGCUAAUUGCCUCUAAAAAUACAUGUUUAGUAGCGAUUAAGCUAUAGCCGUUAAUUAAUUACCCCUAAAGAUCAUUUUUGAUGUAGUGUAGAUCACUACACCUUUAUCUUGAGUCGAGAGUCUAUGGAAACAACACAAGAGACAACUAAUCGUCUAGAGAAAAUGAGUACAUAGGGGGUAUUAUUUUAUUAAGUCUUCUCCAUCCUCUAAAAAGUCUUGUGGAACACUACAAAAUAUGAAGUAACAAGUUGCUAGAAGUAAGUAGUACUCAUCCUGUAAUUCAAUUGUUCAUCAGUCCCGAUUCAUCAUAAUCUUUUUUUUUCCUCUAGUCUUAGUGGAAAUUGGCUCAAAGGCUUACAAGUCAUCGUCCGCUAGUUACAAUACUGUAUCACUUUUUUCCUUAGGUGGAAUAGAAUAUUGAUGGAUUUUCCCUCAUUAACUUAAAAAUGUGAAAACUAUAGUGUACCUAACAAGUUUGAAAAUAGCAGAAUUGACAACUAAUUACUAACUUGGAAUAUUGACAUUUUAUGAUUGUAUAAAUUCCAUAGAAAAAUUGCAUACAAAUUUAUUGCAUUCUCAUAAUUGGUUUCUCUAUUAACUGUUCUCAUAAUUGGUUCAAUGACACGUCUUGACAUUUUAUGAUUAUAUAAAUUCCGUAAAAAAAUGCACUAAAAUUUACUGCAUUCAUACAACUUGGUUUCGCUUGAUUAAAGUGUCCCUUCUUGUCUUAUGGAAGAUGAAAUGGAGUAACAUCAUGUCUUUAUUGUUCAUUUAUUAUUAUUUUUUUCUCAAUUGACUUGGUCAUACAAUAGUUUCUCUCUUUGAAAUGUAUUGUGGGAAACAGAAGAAGAGAUGUUGAUGGAAAGUUAGACAAGAAUGACUUAAAAUAGGAGUUCAAAUUUCUAUCUAUCCNNNNNNNNNNNNNNNNNNNNNNNNNNNNNNNNNNNNNNNNNNNNNNNNNNNNNNNNNNNNNNNNNNNNNNNNNNNNNNNNNNNNNNNNNNNNNNNNNNNNNNNNNNNNNNNNNNNNNNNNNNNNNNNNNNNNNNNNNNNNNNNNNNNNNNNNNNNNNNNNNNNNNNNNNNNNNNNNNNNNNNNNNNNNNNNNNNNNNNNNNNNNNNNNNNNNNNNNNNNNNNNNNNNNNNNNNNNNNNNNNNNNNNNNNNNNNNNNNNNNNNNNNNNNNNNNNNNNNNNNNNNNNNNNNNNNNNNNNNNNNNNNNNNNNNNNNNNNNNNNNNNNNNNNNNNNNNNNNNNNNNUAUUAUUAAGUAUGUUAAAAUAUAAUUAUUAAAAGAUAAAUUAAAAUUAUAAAACCACAAAUACCUAAUAAGAUGUACUAUCAAUUAUUGGUUAUAACUUUCUUGCACUUUAAUUUAAAUUAUAGAUUUAUUUAUAUUUUCAAUUAUUUUUUUAUAAGAACUUUUUAUGUAUAAUAUAAAUUUUGUCUACGUUUAAUAUGCUUAGCUAUGGAUAUUAUCUCAUAGAAAGUGUAAGCAUAAAAUUUUCAUGAUAUGUUGGGUGGUGGUGAUUUAUUUUAAAUAUAUAGUUUCACUUUUUAAGAGUUAAAUCAAAUGAACUUUAGCCAACAUUUAAGAUAUAUUUUUCUACCUUAUUGAUAUAACAUGAAAAGAUUAGCAUUUAUAAUGCUACGACUAAACACAAGUAGAAUAAAAUUUCAAAGAGCAACAAUAAAUGGGUGGGCACCAACAAAUUCAACUGGGCACUCUGAGUGGGGGAAUUAUAAUUGUGUUCAAGUGGUAUGUGAUAAAUCGUACAUAUGCUUCGUCAAUCAGCGGGAACCAACAAUCUAGUGAGAAAUUUCUCAAACCAGUCAUUCUUUUACAUGGAGAACCCACACUGGUGUUUGACUCCAAAGACAUAGAAGCGUUUAUCACGGAGGAGAAUUUAAAAUACGCUCUCAUUGCCAAAUUCUCACAUGGAAGGCCUGAACUUCCAGAUUUACCGAAAAUAUUGUCUCAACAAUUAGGAUUUAAGGGUGAAUGUAACAUUGGGUUAUUAGAAAGUCGGCACGUGUUGCUGUGGUUCACUUUAAAGGAAGAUUAUAUUGCAAUCUUUUCAAAAACUAGUAGGUCGAUUAAGUUCGCUGGUACUGUUAUACCAUUCAGAAUCCAAAAGUGGACUCCCUCUUUUAGUCCUAGGGAAGAAACCUCCAUUGCAAUGGCGUGGAUUUCUUUCCCAAGUUUACCCUGUCAAUAUUUUGCUUGUAAUGCUCUGUUUUCUAUGGCUUCGGCAGUUGGACAACCUCUUGAUGUGGAUUGAGCGACCUAUGAUAAAACACGACCUAGUACUGCAAGGGUAAAAGUCGUGGUGGAUCUUUUAAGGAUCCUUCCAAAAAGAAUUAGAGUUCAAUUCAAAGAUUUAGUCACUGGCGAAAUUACAAACGUAUGGCAAAAAAUCAGGUAUGAUUAUGUACCAUAUUAUUGUAAGAGAUGUAAUCAUCAGGGGCAUAGAGAAGCUGAUUGUCGAACUCUCCGAUGGUCAAGUUGAUGCCAUGGUCAGUGAAAAUCAUAUUGAAGGAGAAAAAUUUCAAGGAGAUCUUCAUGAUCAUCUCAAUUCCUAAAAAACUGAUUUAAACAGGCUGGAAAUUGGUGAAAAGGAUGAUGAAGAAACUGUUAAAGAUUUAGAUGUAGGGGCUGAAAAGAGUGGUGUUCAAAAUCAAAAUUUGGUGCGCCAAAAUUCUGGCCAGCGCCAAGGCAAAGCAAUGUUGGACGACUAUUCUUCAGGGAAUCAAGUAUUAUCCUUAAUUCCUCAAACUGGUGAGUCUUCGCGGCAAAGUUGUAAUUCAGUUGAUCAUGUCUUUAAUUAUUCUUUCAUUUUUUUUCCUCACUUGACUUAGUCAAGCAAUAGUUUCUCUCAUUGGAAAUUUCUUACAAGUUUUGCAGAAUUUUUUUCUACAUAAUGGGACCAAUUUCACAUCAUCUUGCGUUAGUAACACACAACAGAGAGAUAGUUAAUGACUUCGAAAUGAAUACAACAUCAGAGAAAAUUAGGACAUAGGGAGUAUUAUUUUGUUAAGUCUUCUCCGUCCUCUUACAAGUCUUGUGGAACAUUACAAAAUAUGAGUAACAAGUUGUUAGAAGUGACUAGUACUCAUCUUGUAAUUCAAUUGUUCAUCAGUCCCGAUUCAUCAUAAUCUUUUUUGUUCCUCUAGUCUUAGUGGAAAUUGGCUCAAAGGCUUACACGUCAUCGUCCGCUAGUUACAAUACUGUAUCACUUUUUUCCUUAGGUGGAAUCGAAUAUUGAUGGAUUUUCCCUCAUUAACUUAAAAAAUGGGAAAACUAUUGUGUACCUAACAAAUUUGAAAAUAGCAGAAGAGACAACUAAUUAUUAACUUGGAAUAUUGACCUUUUAUGAUUGUAUAAAUUGCAUAGAAAAAUUGCAUACAAAUUUUAUUGCAUUCUCAUAAUUGGUUUCUCUAUUAACUGUUCUCAUAAUUGGUUCAAUGGCGCGUCUUGACUUUUAUGAUUUUAUAGAUUUCGUGGAAAAAUUACACUAAAAUUUAUUGCAUUCAUACAAGUUGGUUUUGUUUGAUUAAAGUUUCCCUUCUUGUCAUAGGGAAGAUAAAAUAGAGUAACAUCAUGUCUUUAUUGCUCAUUUAUUUUUAUUUUUUUGUCAAUUGACUUGGUCAUACAAUAGUUUCUCUCUUUGAAAAGUAUUGUGGAAAACAGAAGAAGAGAUGUUGAUGGAAAGUUAGACAAGAAUGACUUAAAAUAGGAGUUCAAAUUCCUACCUAUCCAUCUAUACUAAUGUUAAAUUGCUAUAAUAUUUUCAACUUAAAAACUACUUAAUUUAGUAUAUUUUCUAUAAUUUAUAAUAUGUUAUAUUAUAUUUAUUUAUUUAAUUUAAAAUAUAGCGUAUUACAUGAUUUAGCAUUCACGUGCAAUGCACGUGCAUCAAAGCUAGUACUAUCUUAAAAACUAUGUUACUAGAUUAUUUUAAAAUGUCAACAGGUACAUGUUAGAUUCUUCAAAAGUUAUGUAUUUUUUAAGGAACCAACAUUGGUGCAACAUCAUCACAUUUUUGGAGAGCCUGAGCAACAUAUACAAGAAAAUUGGAAAAAGAAGUGCAAUAAGCAUAUAGAGUUUGGUUCAUGAUUGAAAUUACUUGAUAUUAGAAAGUUAACAUUUGUGAAAAUUGAUGUUGAAGAGUAGUCAAAACUACAGAAAUGGCUAAUAAUGGGCAAAAUGCUCUCUGGAAUUGGCUCACUGGAAAGAUUCCAAGGGAACUGACAAGACUACAAUUCGAGGCAGACUAAAAACUCUCUCUCAAUGUUCUUAUCAGACCGAUUGCUGUUCCUCAUCUAUUGGAGUCCGAAGAAGAGUCGUAUUUUGCUAGUGGAUUUACGUGGGAAUCAGUGGUCAUAGUUGUGGAUUAGUUGUUGCAACUGUCAUGUGGAGCCUCAUGUCUAAAGCUAAAAUGAAUUGUGGAAUUUUUUGAAGCCAUCUAUAAAAGCAAAAGACAGAAACCUGUGAUCCUUCAAUACAAUUAGUCUCUCAUCAGUUUUCUUUGCUUGUGCAUCAUUUUUUUAUUUGAUCACUACACCUUUGUCUUGAGUCGAGGGUUUACGGAAACAGCCUCUGGUUAUUUUCCAUCACUGUGUAUCAUAUAGAUGGAAUUUCCCUCAUUAACUAAAUGUGAAAAGUCUUGAAAAAACAGCACAAGAAUAGAAGAAGCAUGAAAUAGAAAGAGUAGUAUUGCUUAAUCAGCUAGUACUGUAGCUUAUCGUAAUCACUAGUAAUUGAUGAAUCACACUGCAAGCAUAUCAUGAAUUUGGCUUAAAGACUUAGAAGUCAUCGUCUGCAUGUUAAUACGAGACGGUCCUACGAAGAAUAAUGUAAAAAGUCUUGUGUACCUAACAAGUUAGAAUGUUCAAAUACUUUUAACUAAAAUCUAUCUACAGUUUUAUUAGUAUUUUGUAUUCUUCUGCUUUGUGUAUCAUCGAGUUCUCUUACAUACUCUGAUCCCUGAUUUUGUAAGAACAGAACAUCCUAUUAUUUGGUGAAUACAAAAAAAGAGUCUCUUUUUCUUUUAUUCAUUUCUCUCUUUUGUGUUGCUAAUAAGUCUAUGCUUUUCUUCUUUCCUUUGAGCAUCAUUUUUGCUCUCCCAAGUAGGCACUUUAAAACAAAUAUAAAACAUUACAUUUUAAAAUAAAAUGACAAAAGUGAAUAAAUUAAUCAGUGGUCAUAGGCGACAUUUCACUACAAGUGUACGACAAAAACAACUUUUAGCAGCAAUAAACGUACUGUCACGCCCCGAGCCUACACCCUGGGUGUGGCCGGCACUCGGAGACCAUAGCUGGCCCCAAGCGAACACUUGGCCUGGCUUUCUUAACUCAGCGGAAACCUAACUCAACAGAAUAACUCAACUGAUAAAAUCUGGCCAAAAAGGCAACUCGAGUCUCAAAAUAGAAUAUUUAUAUAUAUAUAUAAAUGAGAGACUCAAUACUAACUGACUGACUGUCUAUGAAGCCUCUAUAAUACUGAGAUGGAUGUUGGGACAGACCCCGCAACAUCCUAAUAAAACAAAACUAAGAGAAACAAAAUAACCGAGUCCUCCGGAAAACAAGGAGGCUCACCACAGACUCUGGAGUGCUCAACUGGAUCAACGGCGUGCUGGAUGCUGAUCCUAGGUACCUGUGUCUACAUCAUAAAAAAAUGCAGGUCAACUGGCAUCAGUACAUGGAAUGUACGAGUAUGUGAGCUGGACCGCUAAACAACAACUUAAGCUUGAAAAGGGGUAUAAAAGAGAACUUACCUUGGCUUUAUUCAACUCAUGAAUAACUGAACUCAAUAUAAAGCAAUAAGACACAUGAAAUAUAUAUAGCUUGCAAAACUAUUUAAAACAUGACGUCAAAAUCAUAUUUAUAAUAUCAUAAAAAUACCAUGCUUCCUCUCAAAGUCUACUUGUGCAAUGCAUGAAUGAAGUCCCAUACCCCCAUCCAUACUAAGCAGAACCCCUCGAGGAACCAUGCAAUUUCUACUGUGGGAGUUUCUCUAACCGACAACCACCACUAUGACCUAAGUGGUGACACAACGUCUUGUCCACGCUGCCAGAACUGUUCUAUACUUUGUCGUUAUAUAGAACUACUUAACUUUAACUUAGUGGAUCCACUAGCUUAACUUACGUGAUCAUCUAAAAAGUAUGACCCGUUAAAUCCCAUGUUGGCCACAUGGUUCUUAUGGAGAGUUGAGUUAAUAUGAACUCGUGUCCCCAAUUCGGUGCUCAAGACUACUCCCAAAAAUAUACUUUAGCCCAUAUGUUUUAAAAACAAACUUCUUUCUCUAAUUUGAAUUACUUGCGCAAACUACCCUCUUAAAAGAGGUAAUUGCUCUUGAAAACUCUUUCUAAAAAGAACAUAUCAAAACCAUAUUUUUAUAUGAUCAUUGAUGACUCGGGAAGUCAUACUGCAUAAACAUUGAUGGUAUAUCUAGAGACCAUACUGUUUAAACAUUGAUGACAUACUCGAUUUUUCAUACUAAUCAUGUUUUAGAAACUCUUUCGCAAAACUCAUCUUUUUCUUAAAGGAGAUAGUACUCAAACUGCUCAAAACUCUUUUGGAAAUCUCAAUUUCCUCUCAUCUUAAAUGUGAAAACAUUUAUAAACUUAUUUGGGAAUACUUAGUUCCCUAAUAACUUUUGAGAAAUGAACUUGACUCUAUACUCUUUAAUUAACUUGAAACUCUAUACUCUUUACUUAACUUAAAACUGUAUACUCUUUACUUAAGUUGAAACUUGAGUUUUAAAAUGAAGUUAAAACGUUUAAUAACGACUCUUGAAAAACUUUGAAAACUUGCUUUGACUCGCUUCUUAACUUCUAGACUUGACCCUUAACUUCACUUUGACUUGAUCCUAACUCGCCUUGAAUUGGAUUAUGGAUUCAAGGUAUAUGAUAACAUGUUUAUGGAUGAAUUCUUGACGUUUAGACAUACCUUGGAGUAUUAGAAACAACUAUAAAACAUAGGUACAAUACUAAGGAACAUGCAUGAAAAAGUGGGGAAUGAAUGGGAAAGGUUGGCGUCCUUGGCACUCUGAGAGGCGCGGGGCGCUAGACCACAAAGCUCAGAAGGGCAGUUGGGACGCACUUCUAGGCGCGCCCCCCAAGGAGAGAAGUUCAAAACACUUCUUGGGGCGCUCUGCAAGGCGCGACGCGCCACCCCUUUUCCCCAAAAACUCGACUUUUUUCCUUCAUUUCUCCAACUCUAAACCUUCUCAACCUCAAAGUUUCCAGCCCCAAACACUUAAUAUCAUAAGACCCCUCAACAUACAAUAGAUUUAACCCGGAAACACAACCGGAAGCAUGUCCCAAAUCAACAAGGAACUUCAACAACACAAUCAACAACAUCAACAAUACAACCAACAACUUCAACAACACAACCAAUCUUUUCUCGGAAAUAAAACGAUUUUGGUGUGUGGGGGAAAGAACCAACCCAACACUAUGAACUCACAUACCUAGUAGGGAUCACCCCCGACGAUAUCCACGACGAUCUUUGACGAAACCUUGCUUGAUCUUGUCUUUCUUCUCCUCUUCACUCACAAACCCUCACUCUCACUCUUUUAAAAAGGGAAAACUGAUCUAAAAAUCAGUCUAACACAUUAAUAUAACCAAAAGAAUUGGUUAGGGAAAAGACCAAAAUACCCUUACAAAUUUCCGGGCGGACCUUCCCUGCCAACUGCCCAACUUCCAAAAGGCAUAACUCACUCAUACGAACUCGGAAUCAAGUAAAAUUGGCGGCGAUGAAAAGAUCAUUCCAUGAGCUUCGCAAACAUAACUGGAACUACACCUAACUCAUCAUGAGCUAGGAGUUAUGACUGUUCAAAGUUGGUCAAAACUCACCUUUUUUCUACACUUGUCCAAAUUUCCAGAUUUUUAAAUUCUUUCCAAAAAUGACUAUCUCCAAUUCUAAGCCUCUUCAUAGUUAUUUCAAAUUGCCGGAUGUUACAAAUACACAUUAACAAAGACUGCUAAAACCUUUACUUGUAUUAAUUAAUUAUCAUUGGAUUCAAUGUCUCUAUAGGCUUUAGGGACACUUACAAAAAGUGCUAAUUGCCGCUAAAAAUACAUGUUUAGUAGCGAUUAAGCUAUAGCCGUUAAUUAAUUACCCCUAAAGAUCAUUUUUGAUGUAGUGUAGAUCACUACACCUUUAUCUUGAGUCGAGGGUCCACUACUAGAAAACUGUAAAUUACCUGGGAAUUUCAUUUGGAGAUUAUUUUCGCAGAAAUUUCCUAUGAAUUUUCAUGCGGAAAUAUGAAAUUCCUAAAUUCUAGACUUCUCUACAUGCGAAAAAUAAUUUCCCUGAAAAAUUGGUAGGUAACUUUGGCGCCAUUUUUACAAAAUUAUUACCUAUGGAAUUAUUUGGGAAAAAUAAUUUGCAAGUAGCAUUUUCAUAGGUAAAUUCACAAGUAAUAAAAAAAUUUAUUUUUUUAGUAUGUUUGCAAGAAAAUUCCUAGAAAAACAUAUUUGCAGAUUUAGCUAGAAAUAAUUACUUGAAAAUUUAUUUGCAAAUAAUUUUAUACGUGUUAUUACUUGGGGAUUUUAUUGUUGUGACUUUGGUUGAAGAUUUUUAGAGGAAUGCAUACUUGAAUUUUUUUAAAUACAAUUUAAUUGGAAGUAUUUUCUUGGAAUCUAAGGAUUUUUUUAUUUGGAGUCUUCAAGAAAUAUUUUCUUUAAAAUAUAUUUAACAAAAUCUAAAACUAUAAUAAUAUAAAAAAUAACAAUGACAUUAGAAUGAAUUUUAUUGUUAAAUAUAUACUCUACUUUUAGAUUACAUAAAUUAUUAUACAAUAAUAUCAAUCUAACACUAUAUUGGAACAUUACCACAAAUGUCAUGAACAAUAUUUUUAACUUAUAUAUAGUUACAAUAUUUAGUCCUAAAAACCAAUGAUGCGAUAUUUUUUUUUUGAAAGAUACAAAAGCAUUAAAAAUUAUAUGGCUAGUUAUUUAUCCUUAGAAAAAUAACUAUCAUAAAUAUAUUUAUUUUUGAUUAGAUAUUACUUUAUAUUAAAUUUCGUAUUAUUGAAUAAGUCAAUCACUGUUUAAGUAGAGUAAAAUUAAAUUAUAUACAUUAUUAAUGUGAAUUUUAAUCAACCCCUAGUUUAUAGAAUUAUAUUAAAUGAAAAAUAAAUAAAAUUUUAACUAUAUAUCAAAUUUAUAUUUUUUUUUUCUUACAAGCAUUAAAUAUGAUAUAAUUUCUCUAUAGUAAGUUAUUAAAUGUUAUUUAUUUGCAAAUAUUUAUUAUUAAGUAUGUUAAAAUAUAAUUAUUAAAAGAUAAAUUAAAAUUAUAAAACCACAAAUACCUAAUAAGAUGUACUAUCAAUUAUUGGUUAUAACUUUCUUGCACUUUAAUUUAAAUUAUAGAUUUAUUUAUAUUUUCAAUUAUUUUUUUAUAAGAACUUUUUAUGUAUAAUAUAAAUUUUGUCUACGUUUAAUAUGCUUAGCUAUGGAUAUUAUCUCAUAGAAAGUGUAAGCAUAAAAUUUUCAUGAUAUGUUGGGUGGUGGUGAUUUAAUUUAAAUAUAUAGUUUCACUUUUUAAGAGUUAAAUCAAAUGAACUUUAGCCAACAUUUAAGAUAUAUUUUUUACCUUAUUGAUAUGACAUGAAAAGAUUAGCAUUUAUAAUGCUACGACUAAUUAAACACAAGUAAAAUAAAAUUUCAUGUUGGUAAGUUUUAAUGAAAAAAAUCAAUUAAAUAGAUUGAAGACUUUGUAAGUGAAACACUCAUAGUUGAGUGACUUUGUAAGUGAAACACUCAUAGUUAAGUGACUUUUGAGUUAAAAAUCAAAGUUGAGUGACUUUCUGAGAAAAAAACUCAUAGUUGAGUGACUUUGAAGUUAAAAACCAAAGUUGAGUGUCUUUCUAAGAAAAUAGUACAUAGUUGAAUGACCUUAUGAGAUAUUAAAAAUUUAGACACAUAUCAAACAAAAUUUUGAAUUAAAAGCAAAUAAAAGAAUAAAAAUAAAAAUUCCACACGGUAUUAUUGUUCAUUUUUUCCUCACUUGACUUAGUCAAGAAAUAGUUUCUCUUAGAAGUUCUGCAUAAUUUUUUUCUACAUAAUGGGACCAAUUUCACAUCAUCUUAUGUAACACACUGCAGAGAUUGCUAAUAACCUCCAAAUGAACACAACAUCUAGAGAAAAUGAGGGCAUAUGGAGUAUUAUUUUGUUAAGUCUCCUCCGUCCUCUAACAAGUCUUGUAGAACACUACAAAAUAUGAGUAACAAGUUGUUAGAAGUGAGUAGUACUCUUCUUGUGAUUCAAUUGUUCAACAAUCUCGAUUUAUCAUAAUCUUUUUCCCCUUCUAGUCUGUUGUGAUCAUGGAUAGCCGAGAAGUUAGACAACUUGUUGGGCCCGAGGCUAAACCACGAAGUGGAUAAGACAGCCCAACAAUAGGUUUGCUUGGAAUCCAGGUUGAGUACAAAUAAAAGGGUAAUCACUGUGGUUUUGGGAGUUUAUGCAGAUUGUGAAAGAAAUUGUUUGUUCCUCCCAUCUCUUUCUAGAGUCUAAGCUUUUCAUCCACAUUUUUAUCUCUAUCUUUAGUUACUUGUUAUUUAAGUAUUUUCCUUUGUAAUUCUAUAGUUGAAGUGUUGCCGUCGUGAUUUGUCUAUCAGUGAUUACAUAUUACUUGAGUAUUUGAGUUGCGAAUUUAGAUUCGUUACAUAGUCUUUGAGGAAAUUGGCUUAAAGGUUUACAAGUCAUCGUCCGCUAGUUACAUUACUACAUCCUUUAUUUCCUUAGGUGGAAUGGAAUAUUGAUGGAUUUUCCCUUGUUAACUAAAUGUGAAAACUAUUGUGUACCUAACAAGUUUGAAAAUAGCAGAAGAGACAACUAAUCACUAACUCAGAAUAUUGACCUUUUAUGAUGGUAUAGAUUCCAUGGAGCUUGGUUUCCUCUAUUCCAAACGUACCAUAACUGUUGUCAUAAUUGGUGUCCCUUCUUGUCACAUGGAAGAUGAAAUGGAGUAACAUCAUGUCUUUAUUGCUCAUUUAUUUUUAUUUUUCUCAAUUGACUUGGUUAUACAAUAGUUUCUCUCUUUGAAAAGUAUUGUGGAAAACAGAAGAAGAGAUGUUGAUGGAAAGCUAGACAAGAAUGACUUAAAAUAGGAGUUCAAAUUUCUACCUAUCCAUCUAUACUAAUGUUAAAUUGCUAUAAUAUUUUCAACUUAAAACACUUAAUUUAGUAUAUUUUUUAUAAUUUAUAAUAUGUUAUAUUAUAUUUAUUUAUUUAAUUUAAAAUAUAGUGUACUACAUGAUUUAGCAUUCAUGUGCAAUGCACGUGCAACAAACCUAGUACUAUCUUAAAAACUAUGUUACUUAGAUUAUUUAAAAAUGUCAACAGGUACGUGUUAGAUUCUUCAAAAGUUAUGUAUUUUUUAAGAAAUCAACAUUGGUGCAACAUCAUCAUCUUUUUGGAGAGCCUGAGCAACAUAGUUCAUUUAUACAAGAAAAUUGGAAAAAGAAGUGCAAUAAGCAUAUAGAAGAAGCAUGAAAUAGAAAGAGUAGCAUUGCUUAAUCAGCUAGUACUGUAGCUUAUCGUAAUCACUAGUAAUUGAUGAAUCACACUUGAAGCAUAUCAUGAAUUUGGGUUAAAGACUUAGAAGUCAUUGUCUGCUAGUUAAUACGAGACGGUCCUAUAUAUGAAGAAUAAUGGAGUUUCCCUCAUUUUUGCUCUCCCAAGUAGGCACUUUAACAAUUCAAAAUUUAAACAAAUAAAAACUCGAUUUUACCUUUGACACACGUGAAUUGCACGCAUUUUACCAAGUAGGAUUUGAGUGUUUAUUUAUCAAGUAGGAUUCGAUCUUGGCUCACUUUGGCAACUCAAUUUAUCUCACAACGAUCCCAGAGAAGAUAUCCCAACGGAACUGGGACAAAUGAAUACGCUUUUAAGUUCUAGAUUUCUCAUGGAAUUGGCUCACUUGAAAGACUCCAAGGGAACUGACAAGACUAAAAAAUUUGCCAGAUUUUGUUGGUAUAAUAUACCACAAAUAUAAAACAUUAUAUUUUAAAAUAAAAUGACAAAAGUGAAUAAAUUAAUCAGUGAAUUUACGUGGGAAUCAGUGGCCAUAGGCUACAUUUCACUACAAGUCUACGACAAAAACAACUUUUAGCAGCAAUAAAUAUACACAUUAACAAAGAGUGCUAAAAUUUUACUGGUAUUAAUUAAUUGUCAUUGGAUUCAAUGUCUCUAUAGGCUUUAGGGACACUUACAAAAAGUGUUAAUUGCCGCUAAAAAUACAUAUUUAGUAGCGAUUAAGCUAUAGCCAUUAAUUAAUUACCCCUAAAGAUCAUUUUUGAUGUAGUGUAGAUCACUACACCUUUAUCUUGAGUCGAGGGUCCACUACUAGAAAACUGUAAAUUACCUGGAAAUUUCAUUUGGGAAUUAUUUUCGCAGAAAUUUCCUAUGAAUUUUCAUGCGGAAAUAUGAAAUUCCUAAAUUCUAGACUUCUCUACAUGCGAAAAAUAAUUUCCCAGAAAAAUUGGAAGAUAACUUUAGCGCCAUUUUUACAAAAUUAUUACCUGGGGAAUUAUUUGGGAAAAAUAAUUUGCAAGUAGCAUUUUCAUAGGUAAAUUCGCAANNNNNNNNNNNNNNNNNNNNNNNNNNNNNNNNNNNNNNNNNNNNNNNNNNNNNNNNNNNNNNNNNNNNNNNNNNNNNNNNNNNNNNNNNNNNNNNNNNNNNNNNNNNNNNNNNNNNNNNNNNNNNNNNNNNNNNNNNNNNNNNNNNNNNNNNNNNNNNNNNNNNNNNNNNNNNNNNNNNNNNNNNNNNNNNNNNNNNNNNNNNNNNNNNNNNNNNNNNNNNNNNNNNNNNNNNNNNNNNNNNNNNNNNNNNNNNNNNNNNNNNNNNNNNNNNNNNNNNNNNNNNNNNNNNNNNNNNNNNNNNNNNNNNNNNNNNNNNNNNNNNNNNNNNNNNNNNNNNNNNNNNNNNNNNNNNNNNNNNNNNNNNNNNNNNNNNNNNNNNNNNNNNNNNNNNNNNNNNNNNNNNNNNNNNNNNNNNNNNNNNNNNNNNNNNNNNNNNNNNNNNNNNNNNNNNNNNNNNNNNNNNNNNNNNNNNNNNNNNNNNNNNNNNNNNNNNNNNNNNNNNNNNNNNNNNNNNNNNNNNNNNNNNNNNNNNNNNNNNNNNNNNNNNNNNNNNNNNNNNNNNNNNNNNNNNNNNNNNNNNNNNNNNNNNNNNNNNNNNNNNNNNNNNNNNNNNNNNNNNNNNNNNNNNNNNNNNNNNNNNNNNNNNNNNNNNNNNNNNNNNNNNNNNNNNNNNNNNNNNNNNNNNNNNNNNNNNNNNNNNNNNNNNNNNNNNNNNNNNNNNNNNNNNNNNNNNNNNNNNNNNNNNNNNNNNNNNNNNNNNNNNNNNNNNNNNNNNNNNNNNNNNNNNNNNNNNNNNNNNNNNNNNNNNNNNNNNNNNNNNNNNNNNNNNNNNNNNNUUUUCCUCACUUGACUUAGUCAAGAAAUAGUUUCUCUCAUUGGAAAUUUCUUAGAAGUUCUGCAAAAAAAAUUUCCACAUAAUGGGGCCAACUUCACAUCAUCCUGCCUAACACACACUGAAGCGAUAGAUAAUGACCUCGAAAUAAACUCAACAUCUAGAGAAAAUUAGGACAUAGAGUCUUAUUUUGUUAAGUUUUCUCCGUCCUCUAGAAAGUCUUGUGAAACACUACAAAAUAUGAGUAACAAGUUGUUAGAAGUGAGUAGUACUCAUCCAUGGACCACAAGUUGCGUAGUUAGUGAUGCGAAAGUGGUACUAUCUACCAACACUGACUUAAAGACUUGAGUUAACACUUGGGACAACUCUUUUUGCAACCACAAAUUAGUUAGUACCCCAUUUUAUACCUCAUAGUCUCAUGCAUAGAUAAGUCAACCACGUUACUUUAUCAAAUAGUGUUUAGUUAAUUGCUCGUUGUAAUAAUUAAGNNNNNNNNNNNNNNNNNNNNNNNNNNNNNNNNNNNNNNNNNNNNNNNNNNNNNNNNNNNNNNNNNNNNNNNNNNNNNNNNNNNNNNNNNNNNNNNNNNNNNNNNNNNNNNNNNNNNNNNNNNNNNNNNNNNNNNNNNNNNNNNNNNNNNNNNNNNNNNNNNNNNNNNNNNNNNNNNNNNNNNNNNNNNNNNNNNNNNNNNNNNGUUCGAGGUUCUUAUUAAUAUUCUAGGAAGGUUUUAAACGCAUCUAGAAUAUCCACUAAUGUGGUUAUCCGACGAUUAAUUUUUUUGGCUAAAAUAAUUUAACUUAGCUUGAAUUGCAAAAUUGAACUAUUAUAUAGUUGGGACCAUUUUAAGAGAAAAAUAUCAAAAUACUAAAAAAUAAAUUUAUCCAAGUGAAAUAUUUUGUAAACUUAUUUAUUUUAUUUAUUUAUUUAUUUUUAGGUCAAGUAGGAGAUGAAUAGUUUAGUUUAAAUAAUUAACUCAAAAUGGGUGUCUUUUGGGGGGUUUGAAUGUUUGAAACCUUAAAAUCAAUAUCAAUUAUUAACAAAUAAAUAAACACAAUAAAAUAAAGAGAGAGAAUUAGGCCCAAGUCUGGAUUUCCUGUCCGUCUGGGCCAGUACUUGGGCCUAAUUUCAGUUUUGGGCCCUUGGCCCAUUUAAGUCAUUUGUACCUGUCCUAUUCUAACAUAAUAGAACUAUUUUCCAUUUGGGGGCCUUAGGCCCAAUUCUUCCACCUGUUCAAACUAGCACAAUAAUUGCAAAUAAAAUGACAAGGGCUUAGGCCCAAAAAAUAACAAAAUACAACUUCUUAAAGAAGAGUGGGCCUCUUUAAGGCCAUUUUCUCAUUUUUCGUAUACACUAGGUGUAUACUAGUGUAUACAAUCUCGUAUCAGCUCCAAACCCUGUUCAUCAAAUUUUUGGGACCCCUCCUUCAAUUGCUAUGGUUGGUUGACUCGAUAAAGGAUUUUUGGGGCACUCGUGGCCCCCUUUGGAAUGCAAAGGUUGAGUCCAUGAGGACUUGGGCAUAUUUCACAUGAAAAGACACAUAAAUAAGAAUUAGCACCUUAUUAUAGGUUGAUGAAAGUAAUUAUGAAUUGAUUAAUAUUAGACUCAAACUUAAACAAGUUCCAAUAGAGUAGUAAAUCCACGGUGAUUAUGCAAACGAAGCCUUAUCACAUUACUCAACUAACAUGAAAGACAUGGUAACCUCUCAAUUAAUAUAAACUCAAGUUUCCUUUCAAAAAGUAUGAAAAUAAAAAAAAAGUAAAGCAUUAGAAGGAGACAGUAGCUAUGAUGUCAAAUAAUUAAGUGGCUAAAAUUCUAAAGAAAAAUUAUUCUGAUUAUGAAUCUACACCCAGAUGUAGCAUCUAUGAUAAACACACUUGUCACAUAAUUAAAUAUAGUCCACACAUUUCAAAAAUAAUAAUAAAUAAAUAAAUUAGGAGAAUACUUCAACUUUGCAUAUAUCUAAAAAAAAAACAAAGGAAGAGAAAAUCAAUAAGGAUUAAAUCGACUAAUACAUAGACUCUUUUUUUUAAAAAAUAAAAUAAAAUAAAAUAAAGAAAUAAGAUAAAAAUAAAUAAAUAAAUAAACAAGAGCUAAUUGAUUACAUACAAACGAAACGAAACGGUUAACAUGCUAGACUCAGUUUAAGCUUGACUAAAAAAUUUCUGAAUAGACGAUUUACCACAGAUUUAGUGCAUAUUGCAAAACCAAUGAGGUAGGACACUUUAUCCAUGGACAAACCAACAAAUAUUGCUUAUGAAAUAUAGCAAGAGAUCACAUGAUUUGCAGCCAUGAAUAGGAGGGAGCUUGGGGAUUUGCAACUUUAUUAAAAAGGGGGAAAGGAGGGAAGAAUAUACGUCAUUUAACAGACAAGAUUAGACAUUCAAAACAUAAUUAUUAAGACUACUUCAUUAUUUUGUUUCCCACCCGGUGUCCGGAGCCCACUUUGGAGUUCCGACUAAAUUCGGAUCGCGCUUUGCAGGGCCCAUUCGGGGGUGGCGCUCCCAACAAAAUUUUCUCCAUACCCAGGGCUCGAACCCGAGAUCUCUGGUUAAGGGUGAAGCACUCCCACCAGUGCACCACUACCCAUGUUGGUACCGUAUCCCUUAUUUCCUUAGGUGGAAUGGAAUAUUGAUGGAUUUUCCCUCAUUAGCUUAAUGUGAUCGAAAACUAUUGUGUACCUAACAAGUUUGAAAAUAGCAGAAGAGACAACUAAUCACUAACUCAGAAUAUUGAUCUUUUAUAAUUCUAUAAUUCCGUGGAAAAAUUGCAUCAAAAUUUAAUGUAAUUGUACAACUUGGUUUCCUCUAUUCUGAAUGUACACUAAUUGUUCUCAUAAUUGGUUCAAUGACGUGUCUUAACCUUUUAUGAUUAUAUAAAUUCUGUGGAAAAAUUGCACUAAAAUCCUCAAUUGACUUGGUCAUAUAAUAGUUUCCCUCUUUGAAAAAGUAUUGUGAAAAACAGAAGAAGAGAUGUUGAUGGAAAGUUGGACAAAAUCAUCAUAUAUCUAUCAUUUUGGCCUUAUACUAAAUUAUAUAUUAUUAUAUUUAUAUAUUAUUAAAAGUGGAAAGCUCUUGUCUUCAAAGUUGAUUUACCAUUUUGCUCUUAUAUUAAAUUAAUUUUUUUAUAAAAUAAUUUUUCUUUACACCAUAAUUAAAAAAAAUCAAUUAAAUUAGUUUUCAAUANNNNNNNNNNNNNNNNNNNNNNNNNNNNNNNNNNNNNNNNNNNNNNNNNNNNNNNNNNNNNNNNNNNNNNNNNNNNNNNNNNNNNNNNNNNNNNNNNNNNNNNNNNNNNNNNNNNNNNNNNNNNNNNNNNNNNNNNNNNNNNNNNNNNNNNNNNNNNNNNNNNNNNNNNNNNNNNNNNNNNNNNNNNNNNNNNNNNNNNNNNNNNNNNNNNNNNNNNNNNNNNNNNNNNNNNNNNNNNNNNNNNNNNNNNNNNNNNNNNNNNNNNNNNNNNNNNNNNNNNNNNNNNNNNNNNNNNNNNNNNNNNNNNNNNNNNNNNNNNNNNNNNNNNNNNNNNNNNNNNNNNNNNNNNNNNNNNNNNNNNNNNNNNNNNNNNNNNNNNNNNNNNNNNNNNNNNNUCUUUGCAUUUAAUAAUUAUAAUAACCAUAACUUUAUAUGAAACGUUGGUGGUUCAAUUAUUUAAUUGUUACGUUAACCAAUGGCCAACUUCUCAUUGCUACAGUAAGUACAAAGAAGUUGAAAAGUUGAAUUGAAUAUUAAUUAGUAAAUUAAUUCAUUAGUAAAUAAAUGAAAGGAAAUUUCAAAGGUCUAGGAAAAAAUAUUAUAUAAAGGCUAAACGAGUUCACUAAUUUCCCAUCUGCUCUUUGUAACUUUUGAGAUUGAAUGCAAAUCAUUUUAACUUCGAUUUCAUUUUUUCCCUUUUCUUUUUAUAUCCUUUGAUAGUUUGCAUAUAUAAAAGAAGAGAUGGGAGUAUGUAAGAUUGUUUUUUAUGCCUUCUAAUAGUUUGCAUAAAAGAAGAGAUGAGAAGUAUGUAAGAUUAUUGAUGCCAAAUUAGAGUAGCUGUCAUAUUCAAUUUUUACUACUCUUGAAUUAUCAGCUAUAAUAUAAUCUUCCGAGAAAUUAUGAUCAAAAUCACCAUCUCUCCUCCCUUUCAACUAUCAGUAUUACACCGUUUAUACUAGUUUUGUAAAAAAUUUAAAACAUACUAUUUUGGUGAAUUGAUUUAAACAAUGGCUUAUUUUGGUCAAAAUUUUGAUUUCUCCGGAAGGUUGAUCAUAGUUGACAUAAAUGAAUUCAUUGUUAUAGUAUAAUCUGAUUACAAUUCUUUAAGAUACAAAGAUAUUAUACUCUCUACAAAUAAGUUAUUUCAUGAUAUAAAGAAAUGGUGUUAUUUGAAUGCGUUGAUUGAUGCUCCUCUUCACGUUGAUUACUGGCUAUAACCUUUUAUCAUCAUUGCAAUAUUCAACUUUAACUUGAAUUAUUACUUGAAAAGAACUCAUUAAUCUUUUUUGUGUAUGCAUGGCAUAUUUGGUUAAUUAGAAUUACAAUACUUUGAUUUCACAUGUAUUGGAAUUUCAUUUGUUUCCAUGCACAAUUGUUAAGCUUAUAACAAUUAGCUUUAAAUUUUUAAUUAGCAUAUAUUAUUUGCGUUUUGUAAAUUUUAACGAGAAUUGUUUUAAAUAUCAUAUCUAAGUUUUUUGUUUAAAUAUUUCAGAUUCAUUGUUUUGCUAUUUGGUGUGAGCAUCACAAUUCAUUAUUCAAUUAUUAUGUCAUGAAAUUUAUUACUUAAUGUUAUUAGGUGCAAAUAUUUUGCUUAUAAAGAAGUAUUAGUAUUAAAUAUUUGCACCUAAUAACAUUAAGUAAUAAAUUUCAUGACAUAAUAAUUGAAUAAUGAAUUGUGAUGCUCACACCAAAUAGCAAAACAAUGAAUCUGAAAUAUUUAAACAAAAAACUUAGAUAUGAUAUUUAAAAAAUCAUUUAGUGCUCAACGAAGAAGUCAUUCAAAUUGGAUGAGUGUUACAUUCAUCAAUUUUAGUUUGUACUUUUUUUUGUUAUUGAUUACACUAUGGUUUUAAUAUAACUUAUAUCGUGUAUACUACUUGCUUGAGACACACGUGCAACGUACGUGUUCAGAAACUAGUAUAUCUAUAAAAGCAAACGACAGAAAACUGUGAUCCUUCAAUACAAUAAGUUGAUUACUCAGUUUUCUUUGCUUAUGCAUCAUUUUUUAAUUUGAUCACUACACCUUUAUCCUGAGUUGAGGGUCUACGAAAACAGCCUCUCACUACACCUCUUCAUAUUUGAACGGUAUCAUAUAGAUGAAAUUUCCCUCAUUAACUUAAUGUGAAAAGUCUUUUGAAAAACAACUAAUCGGAAAUUAUUUCUCAUAAAAUUUCUCUACAGGUGUAGUGAUCUUCACCAAGUUAUUCAAAACAUAUAGGAAAUUAAGACGAGUUAAUACAUCAGAUGGUCACUCAACUAUGCACUAUUUUCUCAGAAAGUCACUCAACUUUGGUUUUAAACUUAAAAGUCACUCAACUAUGAGUUUUUUUCUCAGAAAGUCACUCAAAAAUACAUGUUUAGUAGCGAUUAAGCUAUAGCCGUUAAUUAAUUACCUCUAAAGAUCAUUUUUGAUGUAGUGUAGAUCACUACAUCUUUAUCUUGAGUCGAGGGUGCACUACUAGAAAACUGUAAAUUACCUGGGAAUUUCAUUUGGGGAUUAUUUUUGCAGAAAUUUUCUAUGAAUUUUCAUGCGGAAAUAUGAAAUUCCUAAAUCUAGACUUCUCUACAUGCGAAAAAUAAUUUCCCAGAAAAAUUGGUAGGUAACUUUUGCGCCAUUUUUACAAAAUUAUUACCUGGAGAAUUAUUUGGGAAAAAUAAUUUCCAAGUAGCAUUUUCAUAGGUAAAUUUGCAAGUAUUAAAAAAUUAAUUUUUUAGUAUGUUUGCAAGAAAAUUCCUAGAAAAACCUAUUUGCAGAUUUAGCUAAAAAUAAUUACUUGAAAAUUUAUUUGCAAAUAAUUUUAUACGUGUUAUUACCUGGGGAUUGAUGUUCUACAAAUUUUGUUGGGAAUUUAUUUCUUGAGGAUUUACUUGGGAAUUUUUCUUACUUGGAGAAUUACUUGGGGAUUUUAUUGUUGCGAAUUUGGUUGAAGAUUUGUAUAGGAAUGCAUACUUGAAUUUUUUUAAAUACAAUUUAAUUGGAAGUAUUUUCUUGGAAUCUAAGGAUUUUUUUAUUUGGAGUCUUCAAGAAAUAUUUCUUUAAAAUAUAUUUAACAAAAUCUAAAACUAUAAUAAUAUAAAAAUAACAAUGACAUUAGAAAGAAUUUUAUUGUUAAAUAUAUACUCUACUUUUAGAUUAAAUAAAUUAUUAUACAAUAAUAUUAAUCUAACACUAUAUUGGAACAUUACCACAAAUGUCAUGAACAAUAUUUUUAACUUAUAUAUAGUUACAAUAUUUAGUCCUAAAAACCAAUGAUGCGAUUUUAUUUUUUUGAAAGAUACAAAGCAUUAAAAUUAUAUGGCUAGUUAUUUAUCCUUAGAAAAAUAACUAUCAUAAAUAUAUUUAUUUUUUAUUAGAUAUUACUUUAUAUUAAAUUUCGUAUUUUUGAAUAAGUCAAUCACUGUUUAAGUAGAGUAAAAUUAAAUUAUAUACAUUAUUAAUGUGAAUUUUAAUCAACCCCUAGUUGAUAGAAUUAUAUUAAAUGAAAAAUACAUAAUUUUUAACUAUAUAUCAAAUUUAUAUAUAAUUUUUUCUUACAAGCAUUAAAUAUGAUAUAAUUUCUCUAUAGUAAGUUGUUAAAUGUUAUUUAUUUGCAAAUAUUUAUUAUUAAGUAUGUUAAAAUAUAAUUAUUAAAAAAGGUAAAUUAAAAUUAUAAAACCACAAAUACCUAAUAAGAUGUACUAUCAAUUAUUGGUUAUAACUUUCUUGCACUUUAAUUUAACUUAUAGAUUUAUUUAUAUUUUCAAUUAUUUAUUUAUACGAACUUUGUAUGUAUAAUAUAAAUUUUGUCUACAUUUAAUAUGCUUAGCUAUGGAUAUUAUCUCAUAGAAAGUGUAAGCAUAAAAUUUUCAUGAUAUGUUGGGUGGUGGUGAUUUAUUUUAAAUAUAUAGUUUCACUUUUUAAGAGUUAAAUCAAAUAAACUUUAGCCAAGAAAUAGUGUUUAGUUAACUUUUUGUUUUAUUUAAUAUGGAGGUCGUUGUAAUAAUUAAGAAAUAAAAUAGUGUUUAGAUAAUUAUAGCAUUCUUUCUUACAUGACUACUUAUUUUAUUGACUUAUUUAUAUAUUGACGAUCAUCAUGAACCCAUAUUAUUAUUUUUACCUUUUUAUUCCUAUUACUAUUUUUAUUUAUUCAUUAUUGAAAUAUUCUAAAGCCUACCAAACGGUAAAACCUUUUGCAUUAUGCAAAAUAAAUUGUUGGGUGUUAAAAAAAGAUCAAAUUGUUUUUGGUGUAUUCUUUGAAUUACAAGCACUGCAACAAACAACUACAACAAAAAACAACUUUUAGCGGCAAUAAAUAUACACAUUAUUAAAGAGUGUUAAAGAUUUUGCCGGUAUUUUAAUAUUAUUAUAUCAACUUCUGAAAUUCAGCACAAUUAUUUCAAUAUCAUUGUAUAAUCUUAUUAAUGUUUUGAGUAAGAUUUGAUUAUUCUAACUUUAUAUUAUAUUUUUUCAUUGAAAAAUUUUGUUGUUUGUAUUCUUACUUUAAAGGUCUGCGUACAUCCUACCUUCUUGAAACUUUACUCGUAGGAUUACAUUAAUAAGUAUGUUAUAGGUAUUCAAUUUACAUAGGACACUUAGAAAGUAGUAUAUAUCUGUGUGGAUAAGACUGAUUGAUUUGUAAGAAGAACACAUCCAUCCUGUUAUUUGGUGAAAUCAAACAAACAAAAAAUGGCCGUGAGUCUGUUUUUCUUUUAUUCAUUUCUCUGUUUUGUGUUUUUAAUAAGUGAAUGCUUUUCUUCAUCCUUUGAUCAUCAUCUUUGCUCUCCCACUGAAGCUUCCUCUUUGCUUCAGUUCAAACAAUCCUUUCAAAUUAUGUCCAAAGAGUACUUUAGUUAUUGGUCUGAUGGAGAUUCUUUCCCGAAAACAAAGUCUUGGAAUGAGAGUAGGGAUUGCUGCAGUUGGGAUGGAGUCACUUGUGACUUAUUAAACGGUCAUGUUAUCGGGUUAGACCUUAGUAGUAGUCUGCUUUGUGGAAGUAUUCAUCCCAAUAGCAGCCUCUUCCAACUUCAUCAUCUCCAAACACUAAACCUUUAUAACAACCUCUUCAAUUAUUCUUCAAUCCCACAUAGCAUUGGCCAAUUGACGAAUUUGAGGCAUCUCAACCUUUCUCAUUCUCACUUUGGUGGGAAAAUCCCAACAGAAAACUCAUACCUUUCUAAUUUGGUUUUACUUGAUCUUUCUGUGUAUGGAUUACAACUUGAUGAGAGAACAUUUGAAACAAUGCUUCACAACUUCACAAAUCUGGAGGUACUAGCUCUCUCUCUUGGCGACAUCUCAUCACUGAUACCUGUAAGUAUUCAUCCCAAUAGCAGCCUCUUCCAGCUUCAUCAUCUCCACACACUUAACCUUGAUAACAAUUACUUUUAUCCUUCUUCGAUCCCAAAUGGCAUUGGCCGAUUGAGGAAUUUGAGGCAUCUAAAACUCUCUGGCUUUGAUGGGAAAAUCCCAACAGAAAUCUCAUACCUUUCCAAUUUGGUUUCACUUGAUCUUU